RNAcentral lists this long non-coding RNA (70856 nucleotides) under Lactuca sativa (garden lettuce). Its description in RNAcentral is "long non-coding RNA (LSAT_LNC004906)". Lineage: Eukaryota; Viridiplantae; Streptophyta; Magnoliopsida; Asterales; Asteraceae. The record is from RNAcentral.
UUUUAAUCACUAAUUAUUUAUAUACAUAUGUCUUCAUAUGUAAUUAGGAUCAUUGUGUGUGUCUAAAGUCUUCACUUGACACCAAGCACUUGUCCGAUCCUUCCUUACGAUAACAGUCCGUUCAAUUCCAGUCACUUACUGCAGGUGAGUUCAUACCCCUUAACUAAUGUUUUAAACUAUUUUUAAAUGUUUUAUGGGGGGAUACAAGUAGAAACAUGCUUGUUAUUAUAUCAAUCACAUGUGAUUAAUAAGUAGAAUUAUGCUACUUAUUACAUCAAUCACAUGUGAUUAAUAUACAACAUUCAGACGAUUUGGCUACUCAUUAGCCGUUUUACCAAACAAUUUCCUUCAAAUGAUUUUUAUAAACAUUUUAUAUGUUUUAAACUCCUUAUUACACUGUACAUUUUACUCUUUAUACUACAUUGCAAACUUAUUUUCAAUUGCGUUUCAAACAAACGUUUCUUUAUACUAAACUGUUUUAUCAAACCCAUGCCUUCAAAUUGUUUUAUAGAUUGACAUCAAGUCGAUCUUUUCUUAAGAUAUUAAUUUUGUUCAAAUGUUUUACAAAACUUAUUUAUGCUUUUAUAUUAUAAAUUGCAUGCCUCUAUAUGUAUAGUUAUAUAAGAAAUGUUUAAAAGACUUAGGAAGGCUAUCCACCCUAUUUCCUUUUCGCGCUUGAGAUGUGGUUUGGUGGGAUAUCGGGUAUUCGUCCGAAAGUCGUUUAAAUAUUAGUUAUAUAUCAUGUGUACAUAUAUAAUCAUAAAAGGCCCUUCCAGUUCAACAGAUACCCUUGGGUAGCAAGGGUAUACCUCCACGUCCAUACGUAUCAGUUAGAUCACUAGUAAACUACCAUAUGGGUAGUUUAGGAAGAUACUAGAACUAUUACUAGAACGCAAUAUCAUACAAUGAGUCAGUUCAUUCAUGAGUCAUUACUUUCUAGAUCAUUACUGUACAUUACUAUACUUGCUAGGUAGAGAGCACGUACAUGACAUCUAUAACAUUACGUUACAUUACUAUACUUGCUAGAUAGAGAGAACACACAUUACAGCUAGCACACGUGGAACAUUACAGUACAUUACUAUACUAUUACAUGAUCACACUUACAUAAGUACAAUUACAUGAUCACACUUACAUGAGUACGCUUACAUAUACAUAGGACAGACGUCACUAGGUGCUAUAGCAUGGAACGAGUUCAGGAUCUAACUAUACUGCUGAAUCACAACGCAAUUGUGAUAGUUAUAUCAACUAUAUAUGAUCAUAGUAAUGUGGAUGCUCACGGCUUGCAUACAUGCAGUGGUCGUGGGUAGGUCCCGAAAUCCCUUUGUUAGGGGAGCGUAUAGUCUGAGAUCUAGACAUCACAUUAUACCUUAUCCCUCAAAUAAGGUAGUUGGGUACCGAUGUAGUCAUUUAUUUCAAAUGCUGCAGUACUCUUAAAUAUUACCUUGGUCUUAAGGUAAUUGGUAUGGUUGUAGUCCGGUACUACACCAUAGUACUAUUUCAUAUACAAAUUCUUACAUAAAAAUACUUAUACACAAAUUACGACACUAAAUACUUAUGAUCUCACCAGCUUCAAAGCUGAUACUCGCUUUCAAAAUUACUUGUAUCCUCAGGUUAUCAUAGACAGUUACCGAUGCAACGAUAAAGGAAGAUGGAGCUUGUUCAAGACUCAUCUUUCAUUUUGAUUUAUGCUUUAGUGUUUAUCAAAAUUUGACAGAACACAUUUGUAUAAUAAUUGUAUUAUUAAUGCAAUGGAUGAUGUUGUUGCUUGUUUACUACUUUACAUUGUUGUUAUAUUAUACAUGACGUCCUCCGCCCCAGAACGUUUCUGCCAUUCAUGGUUUUGGGGUGUGACAUAAUUAGUGUGUCGGUUAACCACACACGCACCAUUAAUCAAUGAUAAUUUACAAGACACCCAUUGCCAACAAUAUUAGUCCAUAUUAGUGUGCCGGUUAACCACACACGCUCCACUAAGGACCAAUAAGGUGUAAUGUGAAAUUUCAUGGGUUAGCAUCAAAUUCACAUUUUUCCUAAAGUAACUAGGAAUGGGAAUUUAGAAAAAAGGUUUAGUUGCUUUAUAAUUCAUUAUACUUUUAAUGAGGAAUAAUGUCCUAUCAAACCCGUUCAGAUAACGACCCUUCACUAGUCAAGAGUGCGGUGGGUAAAAAUGGAUACCUAAUGGCGGUCAUUUUAUAGGACGCUUCCUUAAACACCCCUUAUAGACCAGCUUUGUGAAUGAGACCUACUAACGGUAAGACUNNNNNNNNNNNNNNNNNNNNNNNNNNNNNNNNNNNNNNNNNNNNNNNNNNNNNNNNNNNNNNNNNNNNNNNNAAUAGUAUAAGGAUGUAUUUUCAACUUUUAAAAUACUAGGGGUUUAAUCCUUUAAAUAAAUUUAAGUUUUAAUUUGAUUACAUUUUAACCCUUUAUGGAUUUAUUAAUUAUCUUUUAACUAAACACUUAAUUAAAUUAUUAAUAACAUCCAUAAGGAUGUACUUUAAACCUUUUAAAAUACUAGGGUUCAUAAAUUUAAGAUUUCAAAAUUAAACUAUUUAAUUAAAUUUUAAAUUGUAAAACCAUAGGGUGUAUUUUUAAAACUAUUCAAAAAUACUGGAUCAAAUUUUAAAUAGUUAAAUUAAUAAAUUAAUUUUGUCUUUAUCAUAAAAUUUGACCAAAUAAAUUAUCUUGAUAAGGACAUACCUUUACCUUUUCAAAAAAUUCAAUUUUAAGCAAAAAAACGAAUUAAGGCAAUUAACCAAAUUAAAUCAAGGUAUGAAAAUCGAAAAAUCAGGGAUAUGACGAGUCAACUCGUCGAGUUCUGGGCAAUGAAAUCGUCGAGUUUGAUUAACUUGUCGAGUCCCAUGAGAAACUCGUCAAGUUCAAUGAACAUAUUGAUGAAUCUGUUCCCUCCUCUUUUGGACAAUUCAAAUAUGCAUCAAAUUCAAAUGAAAAACAUCCUAGGCUCUGACACCACUGAUGUAUUCUGAGCAUAACUACAACCUAUGUGUUCAAGCAACCCUAAUUGCUUUGGAUCUAUAUUUUUCACUAUUUGAACAUGAAAAUUGAAUACCAAAGCAAAACCCUAGAUCUAGCAUAUGAUUUUCAAAAAUUACAUAAUAAAAUGGUUUUGAUGUUUACCUUACUUGUUACGUAGCAACAACAAGAAACCUUGUAGAUCCUUAACUCUUGAAAGCUUAGUGCCUCAAAUGUUGCACCUCUAAUGGCUUACAAACACCACUAACAAGAGGAUGAGAGGAGAGAGGAGGGAAUAGCACCAAAUUUUGGCUAGGGUUUUCUAGAUGCAAGCAUUUUCCGAAAAUCAUAAGUCGUGGGGUUCUUUAUAUAGUUGUGGGCUGAAAGGGUUUUUUUGGAGGAAACCUUAAUUUCCUGCUUAAGGCUUAUGUAGCCCAUGGACUCCUCAUUUAGAGACCUUAGGCAAAACAUAUAGGGCCUCCCUAUAGUUUUCGUCCACUCCCUUCUAUGGAGUCCACUAACCCAGUUUCACAACUAUCAAUGAUGUGCAAAACAACCCCUGUUUCUUUAAUAAGUUCCUUUAAUCCUAAAAAUUAAUUCCAAAUUAAUUUAUGAUUAAGCACUAAUUAAAUAACAUGAUUUCUAAUUAAUAUAUGAUUUUCAUAAUACUUUAAUAAAUCAAUUUAUUAUUCCAAAUAAUAAAUUCAACCUCUCUCUCCAAAAGUCAUCUAGUCAAGUUGCUAGAGUGAAGGCAACCCAAAAGGACCAUGCUACUAUGAAAUCAUGUACAUACCAAUUAUAUUUAUGGACUUAGACACUUAAUCCAAAAAUUCCAUGGUUAUGAAGUCAUAAAUUCAAGAUACAUUCCUUGAACACUUUUCUUGCAUUAAAGUUUCCAACUCACAUGUAGAUUUUGCAAACAUCUCCCAUUAUGGAAACAUUUUCAUAAUCCCAUAUGACCAUUAAUUCUGACCAAAAAUCAUCUCAAUCUAAAAUGUGCCACUAUGGUCCAUCCCAAAUAAUGUCACACUUCUACCUAUCCACAAGCAACCAAUCUUCCGUAAAACCUCAUAAUGUUCGUGAUAGUUGUUUAACAACCUUAGUCACAAAAAAUUCUAAUCCUUUUCACACAAAUCUCUAGGCAUUUGAAAAAUUAGAAUAAGUGAAUAUUAUAGUAUAUAUGUAAUCGAUCCUAUAUCUGAUGCAUAUGGGACUCGACUCAUUAUGCCCUAUACAAGGAUUUAAUAUCUAUUCAAUUACUAUCUAUAAUAUUUCUACAUAUGGAAUCUCCAACGUUAAAACAUUUCAACAUGAUAUUCAUAUAUUUAUUUGACUAAGUUCUAUUAGACAAUACGAUCUAAACCUUUGGACUCAAAAUGAAGUAUGAGUGCCAUCUCCCUUAAGUCCACUAUAGUGAAACAUUUUCUGACCUAUGCCAUUUGCAAAAACAUAGACAUUAUUCCUACAAACAGUAUUGUCAACAUGCAAUACCAGCAUACAGUUGUGCUUCCACUAACUUUGACAUGUACCCAAAAAUAAAUGGGCUUCAAGAAAUAAAUAACCUUUGACUUUCUUACGGAAGUGCAGAUUUAUGUUAUGCAAUGCUUCCAUAAGUCUCCAACUAUACUUCUUGUGCUUAUAUACCUUAGUUGGAUAAUGUGUGUGUGUGUGUUUAAACCAUUUCAAGACUAAUAGAAAUAUAUGUUGAAAGUUCAAACAAUUAGUUAUCAUUCCUCAUAAUUUGAAAUAUGAAGAUGGAUGACAUAAUCAUAUUGUGAAUUUAAAAAUAAAAUUUACACAACUAAUAUCUAUAUAGACCAGAUCCUUAAAAUCCAUUAGCAAAAGUAUUUCCACAUAACCAUAUUCAUGAAUUAGAGCAAAACCGUUUGCCAUUUAGAUUUUAAGGUGCAUACGUUCUGAUCCAUGUGAAUCUAUCAAUUCCAACCUACAGUCAUAAGACAAGAUUUAGGGAAAUCUAAAAUCAAAUUCAGUUUUCGUUAAUGGACUAAACUUCGAUAUUUUUAAUAUCUUGCCUUAUUGUAGCUCAAGGGCCUAUCAGUGCUUCCAUGUUGUUAACAUCUUACCCAUAUUGAUCAAUAUACUUUCACUGAUCAACGUGCUUUGCCUUUUGCAGUUAAAUUAAACUAAUAGAACUAAUAAGCAUUGCCAAAUCAACUGAAAGUGCACAUAAAUUAGAACAUUUCAGUUAGACACAACAUGUUGUAAACCUCAGGCCACAUGCUAGUGAUGACUAAAAGGAUCAUUAUCAGUUGUCACUUGUAAGAUCUCAAGAUCAAUACGCCUCCUACUGGAUUCUUGACAUAUAAGUUUCUCUCUCAAGGAACAUUUCUUGACGGGCUAAAACAAAUAUUCAAAAUUUUGUGCGGACUGUCAACAAGAACACACUCCAUAGAAUAGGACUUAUUUUAUCUUUUGUUUCUUGAUCAACGAAAACAUCAAAACUCCAAUUCUAAAUGUGCUAGAGUAAGGAAAGCAUUCUUUACUCCACAUAUUAUGAGGUGUUAUAAUCAUUCUUAGUUUGAAAUUAGUUUCAAGAUACAAUUUUUAGUUACUAGAGCAUGUCUCUAAAACUUGAUUGGAACAAAGUAUGAAUCAUCUAUGAUUGAACCAUUUCCAACAAUGCUUGAUUCAUCCUGUUAGUCAUACACUUUCACUAAGAUGUUAUUUUGAGUAUUGAUUGUGAUACAAUUCCACAAUUACUAAGAUGAUCAUAAAACAUUAUACUAAAGUACUCUCCUUUUCCCUUCAGAAUAGAGAAACUUUUAUCUUUCUGCCUAAUAGACUCUUCUAUUCGUUCUCCCACUCUUCGAACCUUUUCAAAAGUAUCAGAAUUCUGUUUAAUCUUAUACACAUACUUGUUGAAGCAUCGGUAAAUAAUGAUGAAUAAAGUUAUCAUCCCUUGUGGUGGAUCUGCAAAGUCCAUAUCAACAUGUACUAGAUCCAUUAGUCCUUCACUUUCAUCAAAUAAACAUGUGAACAAAGAAUUAGUUAUAAUUUUGUAGUGAACGAGAUUCUCAUGCAUCAUCCAAUUUUAAAUUGUAUGACUCAAAGUUCCUUUCCAACUGAAACUUAGCAAUGAGGUUUGUUUUCACUUGGUCAAAGUUGAUAAUUCCAGAAGCACGUUCUAAAAGAAUCAAUAUCCACCAUUAAUAUUGCCAUUAUUAGAAACAUAAUCAACACUUUCAUAAAUUCCAUUGCAAUGAACUACAAAUAAGGCAAUUUCAUAAACCAAAAAUUCAUUUUAUUUCUAAAUAAAAAAUUGGAACUUGGCCUUACAAUGCAUAAAAUGAAAAACUAUAUUUCUAGACAUCUUCGAAGAGUAAUAGCAAUCUAUUAAAUUUAACUAACUCCAUAGUAGUAGCUCCAAUUCCAAACCAUCGAACCAUGUGACCGAAGUCAACUUCUCACGAUCAAAUUUACCUCACAUUGCUCAAGCUUCCUUCUUUCAUCUAGAUUUUCAAAUACCAUAAAAAUGUGAUCAUCACAUUAUGUUUUAGGAGUCUAAGAAUAGGAACUUAUGGAGUUAGAUAAUGGAUGUACAUGAAGUAGAGUCACCCGAAUUAACUUUACUAUCUAUAAGAUCUUUUAGGUAUUUCGGGUAAUUUCACUUCCAAUGUACCUUCAAUUGGUAGUAGAAACAAAUGUAAUCAUUAUGUUCAACAUGCGGAACGAUCUCAGAAUGAUUCUUUCUCUUUACCAUAUGGUCAAACUAGUUGACCUUGGUCGAUCCCUUUCGAUUGGUAAGAGAAAUCUUUUCUUUAUCACAUAUGUUACCAUUUUUAACAUCCUGUUUUGGGUCGUUCGUGAUUUAGGGUUGUUGGCUGUAACCUGGGCAUGUGGAAGCCUUGGGGCUAUGACUAGUUGCUAGAAGCAUAGGGCUUCUCGUUACCUUUUCGUGGAUAUGAGGUUCAGUGUAAACGGAUUUAUAUCGAGGAAACUAUGGAAGUUUGAAGUUUUGACAAGAUAGGUCCCUUAUUUGAGGAAGGUGGCAGCUGAGUACACUGGGCGUACGCGUGUGUACGCUUAGCAUACUCAUGUGUGUGAAUUUGAAGUAGAGUCACCUAGUACGUUGGGCAUACCAGAGGGUACGUUAGGUGUACUAGGCACAAAGUGAAAAAUCUAUAUCAGGGGGUGUCCUUAUAUAAAGAAUAAGAUGGCCUCAUUCCUGGCCACCAUCCUUAGACAAUCAGCCUUCUCAAACCCUAAAUACUCAUCCAUUGAGCUUGUAUGUCCAUUUGGGAGAUAUUGAGUGAUCUUGUGUUUCUUUGGAGUAAAGAAGGAGCCUUGAAGAAGGAGUGGGAUUCUAGGCUUUGGAUCUGAGCUUAUCUGAGUUUGAAGCUUCAUGUUGAGGUAUAAAGCUCAAAGAUUUGUUACUCUUUUGUUUUGUGCAUCAUUUUAGUGUAUUUUAGGGUUUUAGUCCCACAGUUGGUGACUUUAUGAGAUAUUGACCUUCUCACACCCCAAAACCAAGAACGACGGAAACGUUCUGGGGCGGAGGACGUCAUGUACAGUAUCACAACAAUGUAAAGUAGUAAACCAGCAACAACAUCAUCCAUUGCAUUAAUAAUAUAAUUAUUAUACAAGUGUGUUCUGUCAAAUUUUUAUAAACACUAAAGCAUAAGUAUUUUAGUGUCUUAAUUUGUAUGUAAGAAUUUGUAAUUUUAUGAACUGUAAGUAUGGAAAAUGUAUAUGAAUUGUAAGUAUUGAAAAUGUAUAUGAACUGUAAUGUAAAAAUGUUUGUAAAACAACUGUAAACGUUUGAAAAACCCUAGAAAUCCCUAUGAUUCCUACUAUUAUAUAAAGUGUGUCUUCUACCAAGACCUAACUGUUCUCAAUGUAGUCUUAUACCAAGACUUAACUGUUCUAAAUGUUCAUUUCUUGUAAAAGUGUGUAAUUUUCCCAAGUGUAACUAUCAUUUACAAAAUAUAGUUUGUACAUCUAAUGUUUAAGUGAAAUGAUCACUAAAAUGUGAAAAGGGGAAAUUAAUGUAGUACUGUAGUGUUGUAUUAUAGGAACUACUGCUGUACUAACUACCUUAAACCGGAUUUAUAUUAAGGCAUCAUGUGAUUAAUUGCACCAUACUAUUGACUAGUAACAACGACAGAAGAAUGGUCGUAAAAAAAAGGUAUGACGUUUGGCACCCGCAGACCUGCAGGUCCCGCUGUAGCUAGCAGCAAGGUGUACGAUAGUCAAUCCAGUAUAGAUCUAUACGCAAACUCACGCUCUCCCUUCAAGAGACUCUGGCUACAACUCGGGCCAUGACAUUUAAGGCAUGCUCCGAUACAUAUCAAAAUAAUUAACGUAUUCAUAUGUAUAUAUGUAAUGUAAUGAACUGUUCUAGCUGUAAUGUAUGUGCUCUCUACUUAGCAAGUAUAGUAAUGUACUCGUUCUAGUAUCGUUGUAUAUGUUCUCCUUCUACUAUAUUUGUAUAUGUUCUUCUCUAGUAUAGUUGUAUAUGUUCUUCUCUAGUAUAGUUGUAUAUGUUCUUCUAGUAGUAAGUAUUGACUCAUGAAUGAACUGACUCAUAGUAUGAUAUCGCGUUCUAGUAAUAGUUCUAGUAUCUUCCUAAACUACCCAUAUGGUAGUUUACUAGUAAUCUAACUGGUACGUAUGAACAUGGAUGUAUACCCUUGCUACCCAAGGGCAUGGGAUGAACUAGAAGGACCUUUUAUGACUAUAUAUGUACACAUGAUAUAUAACUAAUAUUUAAACGACCUUCGGACGAGUACCCGAUAUCCCACCAGACCACAUCUCAAGCGCGAAAAGGAAAUAGGGUGGAUAGCCUUCCUAAGUCUUUUAAACAUUUCUUAUAUAACUAUACAUAUAGAGGCAUGCAAUUUAUAAUUUAAAAGCAUAAAAUAAGAUUUGUAAAACCUUUGAACAUAAAUAUUUUCUAAGAAAAGACCGACUUGAUGUCGAUCUAUAAAAUGGUUUUGAAGGCAUGGGUUUGAUAAAACAUUUUAGUAUAAAGAACAUUUGUUUGAAACACAAUUGUAAAUAAGUUUGAAAUGUAAUAUACAGAGUAAAAUGUACAAUGUAAUAAGGAGUUUUAAAACAUAUAAAAUGUUUAUGGAAAACAUUUGAAGGAAACUGUUUGGUAAAGCGGCUAAUGAGUAGCCAAUCAUUUGAAUGCUGCUUACUAAUCACAUGUGAUGGAUAUAAUAUUUAGCGUAAUUCUACUUGUAUCCCCCCUAUAAAACAUUUAAAAACAGUUUACAACAUUAAUUAAGGGGUAUGAACAUACCUGCAGUAAGUGAUUGGAAUUGAACGGACUGUUAUCGUAAGGAAGGAUCGGACAAGUGCUUGGUGUCAAGUGAAGACUUUAGACACACACAAUGAUCCUAAUUACAUAUGAAGACAUAUGUAUAUAAAUAAUUAGUGAUUAAAACACUAAUUAUACAAGUGUAAACAUUUUAACGCGAGGAAAACACUUUUGGUCAAGUGCUAGGGGGCAAAUGGGUUGCAACAAAGGAGUGCACAACAUCUAAUGGGAGUUUAUGGUCAAAUGACCAUAUUCUUUGGAGUUUACGGCCCAGGGGAGUAAACUCCUGGCCGUAAACUCUCAACCAAGUCCCUAAAUGGAGCUUAGAAUUAUUACAACUCAUGUGGUGAAUUGUUUCAAGGCUAUAACAAGUGUUUGGGUGCCAUAUUAACUCCUUUGGGGAGUUUACGGCCCAGAGACCAUAUUCCCUUGGAGUUUACGGCCGUAAACUCCCUUGGGAGGGUGUUUAUGGUGUUUUCAAGUCUCAAACAUUUCNAUGUAAUGUAAUGAACUGUUCUAGCUGUAAUGUAUGUGCUCUCUACUUAGCAAGUAUAGUAAUGUACUCGUUCUAGUAUCGUUGUAUAUGUUCUCCUUCUACUAUAUUUGUAUAUGUUCUUCUCUAGUAUAGUUGUAUAUGUUCUUCUCUAGUAUAUUUGUAUAUGUUCUUCUAGUUUUAUAGUUGUAUAUGUUCUUCUAGUAGUAAGUAUUGACUCAUGAAUGAACUGACUUAUAAUAUGAUAUCGCGUUCUAGUAAUAGUUCUAGUAUCUUUCUAAACUACCCAUAUGGUAGUUUACUAGUAAUCUAAAUGGUACGUAUGAACAUGGAUGUAUACCCUUGCUACCCAAGGGCAUGGGAUGAACUGGAAGGACCUUUUAUGACUAUAUAUGUACACAUGAUAUAUAACUAAUAUUUAAACGACCUUCGGACGAGUACCCGAUAUCCCACCAGACCACAUCUCAAGCGCGAAAUAGUGUGGAUAGCCUUCCUAAGUCUUUUAAACAUUUCUUAUACGACUAUAGAUACAGAGGAAUGCAAUUUAUAAUAUAAAAGCAUAAAAUAAGAUUUGUAAAACCUUUGAACAUAAAUAUUUUCUAAGAAAAGAUCGACUUGAUGUCAAUCUAUAAAACGGGUUGAAGGCAUGGGUUUGAUAAAGCAUUUUAGUAUAAAGAACAUUUGUUUGAAACACAAUUGUAAAUAAGUUUGAAAUGUAAUAUACAAAGUAAAAUGUAUAGUAUAAUAAAGAGUUUUAAAACAUAUAAAAUGUUUAUGGCUAAUGAGUAGCCAAUCAUUUGAAUGCUGUUUAUUAAUCACAUGUGAUUGAUAUAAUAAUUAGCAUAGUUCUACUUGUAUCCCCCCCAUAAAACAUUUAAAAACAGUUUACAACAUUAAUUAAGGGGUAUGAACAUACCUGCAGUAAGUGAUUGGAAUUGAACGGACUGUUAUCGUAAGGAAGGAUCGGACAAGUGCUUGGUGUCAAGUGAAGACUUUAGACACACACAAUGAUCCUAAUUACAUAUGAAGACAUAUGUAUAUAAAUAAUUAGUGAUUAAAACACUAAUUAUACAAGUGUAAACAUUUUAACGCGAGGAAAACACUUUUGGUCAAGUGCUAGGAGGCAAAUGGGUUGCAACAAAGGAGUGCAAAACAUCUAAUGGGAGUUUAUGGUCAAAUGACCAAAUGCUUUGGAGUUUAUGGCGCAGGGGAGUAAACUCCUGACCGUAAACUCUCAACAAGGUUUCUAAUCGAAAACUAUCAUUUAUACAACUAGUUUGGUGAAUUGUUUUAAGGCUAAAUCAAGUGUUUGGGUGACAUUUUCCCCUUUUAUAGGGGUUUACGGCCCUGGGACCAUAUCCCAUGGAGAUUACGGAAGUAAACUCCUUUGGGGUAAGGUUUAUGGUGUUUUCAAGCCUCAUGCACAAGUGGUAUAAGUUCUAGGCUUUUAUUCCAAACAUAUGAAGACUCUUGACACACUUUGGUGCCCCUUUAAUGAGUUUAUGGCCCAUGAACCAUGUCAUGGCCGUAAACUCACUUUGUAAGGUGAUUUUAUUGUGUUUAAGGCCCUUGAUUUAAUGGGAACAAGUCUAGAUAAAAGUCUAAGGCCUUAGGUGCCUUAAAAGCACCAUUUUGAGCAUGAACUUUGGAGUUUACGGCCUAAGAUGCUCCUGGGCCGUGAACUCCCAAACUUGGGUGAUCCUUGCUUGAUUUCAUGUCCCUAAUACACUCCUAUACAAGUCCAAGGCAGUAAUAUAUCACGGGGGACAAUCUAGGCUUGGUUUCGGGUGUUUACCGCCCAAGAACACCUUGGGGAGUAAACUCCUAAAUCGAAUGAUUUAGCUAUGUAAUCUAUGUUAUGAACACAUUUAAAUCUUUCUAACACUACUAUAAAGAGUUACUCACAAUUUGGGAUAAAAACCCGAAGAUCCGUGAGAGAGAAUUUUGGCUUUUCUCUAAUUGGAAAUGUAACUAAUGAACUAUUUGGUUCAGUUUGCUAUAGAUAGUCUUGGGAUUUUCGGCAGAAAAUAUUUUUAUUCACGGAAUGAACUCUAAUAUCCUAGAGUAUUGGAAUAACAGUGUUUUACAAAACCCUAGUGCAUCCACUCUCUUAAUAUCUCCUUAAGUGUAAAUCCUGAAAACUGCCAAACUUAUUCUCGAAGUCUGGAGUUUCACUGUAACUGUUCUACUUCUAUUGGCAUCAAAUGGUUUUUACAGAAUGGAAAUUUCAGGUUGUCAUAGAGCUCCAGAGUUUAUUAUCAGCUCCUUUGAGUAUCUUCAGUCAUGUAGAUUCAUAAAAAUCAAGACUUGGACUUUUGAAUCAAACCAUGCAUGAGAUAUGAGCAUGUUGAGACAAGAGAGUGAGAGUUUUGGGUGUUUGUGACUUUAUCAGUCAUGCAAAGGCUUAAAGUCACAGACUUUAUGGAGUAAGAGCCUCUACGGAUUCCAGAUAUGUGAUAUGAGCUAAGGUCUUAACGGGUUAAGACCAAGAGAGUGAGAAAAGCCAUACUGGAUGUACGCUGAGCGUAAUCCUAGUACGCCCUCCGUAUUGGGUUGGUCUUGAAGGGUUUUGAGCAUUCUAACACUCCGAAGGUGUACAUGCAACCCUAGAAACAUUGGAUCUAUGUUUAACGAAGAUACAAGCAAAUUUUAUUUUGAAGGUUCUUAACCUAACUAGCAUGGCAAGGGGAACUUUGAAGCAUAAAAGCUAGUAGAAGAACAUACCUUUCUUGUUACUUGGAUUCCUUGAGAACCUUCUGAGCCUAGCACCUCAGGUUUGAUGCCUCAAAUGUUUCAUAGAACACCACAACUCUUGGAAUAACUUUGAGAGAAGUACACUAUCACUCAAAAAUUGCCUAGCCCUCUUGUUCUACACAUAGUGUGUCGAUUUGGCCAGCAUUGGGGUCCUUUUAUAGUUGUGUCAGAAGUAGGGUUACAACAUGUAAACCCUAAUUGGCAUGGCUUUCCAUAUUCCAUGAUCCAUGGGUUUAUAACCUCCAUGGACUAUCCAUGGAGCACCUUAUGGGUUUUAGCCUAAUUAAAUAAACCAUGGAUCAUUAUCCCACUAUAAAAGAAUGGAUGCUUUGCACAAUCAACCCAUAUAUUUAAUUAGUCUCUUUUUGAUCACUAAAAUUAAUUCUAAAUUAAUUAUUGAUCAAAACUAAUUAAAUGAAAUUAUUAAUAUAUUAGAACUUAUAAUAUAUUAAUAAACCAUAAGUGUCCUUUCUCUCGUUUAGUCUAUCCAAGUGUUACAAUGCAAUGCAACCCAAAAUGGACCAUUCUAACCAGGUCAAGUACAUUCCAAAAAUAGUUAUGAACUUAAACACCUAAUCCAAUAGUCUCCCACUUGGAUAAGUCUAAUAACUAUGACUGCAAGAAUGACUUCAGGAACCGAUCGUAGCUCUUUCAAGGUCUCGCGGAACUGAGAUGAUGAUGAUACGCCAUUUAAGAUAUGUGAUCAUAUAAUCCUAUAUUCUAGAUAUGAGUAGGAGAAAUACGUGGAACAAUGUCUUACUUAUUGUCCAAUAGUUUGUUUCCCGAUUUCCGAUUUGUUUGACAUAGAGCUGAAUCGAACACAUCAAUUUAGUUCUGACCGGGCCCGGUACAUAGGUCAACACAAAAUCAUCGAGGGGCCCAGAUUUCUCUUCUAAUCCAAGAAGGAACAAAUAAACUUCAACUCAUAUGCUUGUUCUAAUAUUUGUUGAAUCAUACACAAAGGCACGUUUUAUAACAUCGAGUUACCAAUACGUUUUCUUACAAUCAAUGUAUAACCAACUCAUAAUCAAUAACUCAUAUCUCUAGGUUUGAAGACUUAUAUGAUAUUAUCGUCUCAUUAUCACUCGAGAUAAAUUCCAUGAAGUGAUACAAGUGAGCAUUGGUUGAAUCCAAUACUCAAAACUUCUGAGCACACAUGAGUGUUGUAGCAACUCUUGCUAUGUCCAACACCUUAGACAUCUACAACCAACUUCAUGACAGUCUGGAUUCAUAUCUACUUCAAACAUAUGACUGACUAUGGAGAAUUUGAAUAAUAUGAUAUACCAUAACAUAAUUAUUCUGGAAGUCAAAACAUGCAAAAUGAAAUGAUAGUAAAUGAUUGACAUAAGAUAGCAACACUUUACUUAAACUAUCUAAUUUCUAAAACUAUCAUCAAAUGUCAAUUACAGUUUACAAAUUUCAAAGCUAUCUAAUUUCUAAAACUAAUAUCAUCCUUUAGCCCUAUGCGCCUCACAUGAUGAAGAGGCCUAACCCUACCCAGUCCCUUCGUGAGGGGAUUUGUUGGGUUCUCAUCUGAUGAAACCCUCUUUGCCACGAGGAGUCCUUCUUCUAUUCGAUGUCUCAUGAAAUGGUAUUUUCUAUCAAUGUGUUUGGAUCUUCCGUGAUCCCUUGGUUCCUUGGCUAAGGAAACUGCACUUUCACUAUCAUAGAAAAUCUCCAUAGGCUCCUUUAUAUCCAGUACAACUCUAAGGUCUCCAAUGAGGUUCUUUAGCCAUAUAGCCUCCUUUGCUGCCUCACUCCCACCGAGGGUAAGGAGCCAAUCCUUAGUCCUCUGCAGGUACUUGAGAAUGUUCUUUACCGUAGUCCAGUGAGCCUUGCCAGGAUUCCCCUGAUAUAUAGCAUACAUGAUCGAGCCUACAGUGGAAGGAUAUGGUACUCGACUCAUCACCGCUAUAUCAGCCUCUGUACUCGAGAUCUGAGUCUUACUCAAACUGGCGUUACUCAGGAUCAGUAAGUCUCCUUUCUUGGAAUUCUGCAUGUCGAACCUAUUCAACACCUUAUCAAAGUAGGUACUUUGACUAAGCCCAAUUAGUCUUUUACUCAUGUCUCUUAAAAUCCUUAACCCUAAGAUAUAGGCAGCUAACUAUACUCCCACCAGCCUUGACAUAUACACAAGAUUCAUCUUUGCUCCUCGAAAAGCCAAACUCUUUGACUUUCUCAUCGAAACAAAGAUUCCAUCUGCGAGGUGCUUGUUUCAAUCCAUAGAUGGAAUUCUCAAGCUUACACAAUCUAUUAGGGUACUCUGCGCUGACAAAAUCCUCUGGUUGACAUCCAUUAAUGAAAGCGGUUUUUGACAUCCAUUUUCCAUAUUUCAUAGUCAUGAAAUGCAGCAAUGGCUAGCAUAACCCUAAUUGACUUAAUCUUCACUACUGGUGAAAAGAUCUCAUAAUAGUCAAUUCCCGGAGUUUGAGGAAAGCCCUUUGCAACCAGUCGUGCCUUAUAAGUGUGUACAUUACCAUCUAUGUCGGUCUUCUUCUUGAGGAUCCAUUUGCACCUGACUGUCUUACGAGCUGGUACAUUGUCAACCAAGUUCCAAACUUUAUUAGCAUACAUGGACUGUAUCUCGUUGUCCAUAGCCUCUUUCCAUUUAGCCGACUCAUGGCCUGCCAUAGCUUCCGAGUAGCUGUUAGGUUCAUCCAAACUUACCAGUGUGCUAUCACUGAUAAGUGUAUCACCUUCUGCAGUAAUAUGGAAACCAUAGUAAUGCUUAGGUGCAUUCCUAACUCUCGUGGAACGCCUCAGAGGUACAGACUCGUUUGUCAGAUCAACAGGAGUUUCCUCUUCAGGUUGAUUGCUAGGGUUUGAGGUUCCUUCACCAGUUGACUCUUGAAUUUCUUCAAGGUUAAUUUGCCUCCCACUAUUACCUUGGCUUAUGAACUCUCUCUCGCGAAAGACUCCUCUCCUUGCUACAAAGACCACAUUAUCACUGGGCCUGUAGAAGAGAUAACCAAAGUAUUUAUGUUGGUAGCCGAUGAAAAUACACCUCUCAAUUCGAGGUUCGAGCUUAUCAUGUGUCUUGCGCCUCACAAAAGCCUCGCAACCCCAAAUAUUGAUGUGGUCUAGAUUGGGAACUUUUCCAGUCCACGUCUCGUGAGGUGUUCUGGCAACCUUUUUGGUAGGGACUAGAUUAAGAAUAUGGGCGGUAGUCUAUAAGGUAUACCCCCAGAAUGAGAUUGGUAGCGAAGCUCAACUCAUCAUGGAACGAACCAUAUCCAACAAGGUUCAAUUAUGCCUCUCAACCACACCAUUAAGCUGUGGUGUCUUGGGAGGUGUCAGUUGUGAGACAAUCCCACAUUCCUUAAGAUAGUGAAGGAUCUCUGUACUAAGAUACUCAGCACCUCGAUCGAAUCGAAGCAUCUUAAUCUUCCUGCCUAACUGAUUCUGCACUUCCUGUUUACACUCCUCUAAUUUUUCAAAGGUUUCUGACUUAUGCUUGAUUAAGUAGACAUAUCCAUAACUACUAUAAUCAUCAGUAAAAGUCACAUAGAAGCGGUUAGCAUCCCUUGUGGAGGUUCUGAAGGGUCCACAUACAUCAGUAUGCAUGAGAUCCAACAAACCCUCACCCCUAGCACAAGAAGUAGUGAAGCUGACUUUGUCAUUUUCCCAAGUAAACAAGAUUCACAACUAUCAUCCGACUUUAAACCCUUUGGAGUUGGCCUAUGCGUUUCUUGCUUACAUGUCCAAGACGACAAUGCCAUAAUGAUGCUUUAUCCAAGUUAGUGGAAGAAUCGAUACACAACCCAUUAUUUCCUAGGUUAUCAACAACCGACAUAGUUUCAUACACACCAUCACAAGGUAAUGCUUUAAAAUAAAGAACAUUGUUAAAGAAAGCAUUAAUACCACCACACUCAUAAUCAAAUGAAAAGCUAAACCCUUGUUCGUUAAAACAUGAAAGGAAAUAACAUUUCUCGCCAUUUCAGACGAGUAACAACCUUUGUUCAAAUCUAAUAUUAACCCACUCUUUGGCAACAAAGAAUAAACUCCAAUCUUGGUGACAGGUGACGCUAUCAUAUUCCCCAUGAUCAAGUUUAUCUUCCCAUGCUCCACAUUCUCACUUCUUCUUAGUCCCUACAAAUCAUUACAUAUGUGAAUACCACAAAUUGUAUCAAGGACCCAAAUAAUUAGAAUGGGGUGUGUUAUUAGACAAUAUAGUGUAAAUACCUGCAUGGUUGGUGAUACGUGCAUAUUUAGCCUUAUAUUUAGUAUAGAUUUUUGUCAAUUAUUAGCUAAUUAUUUGCAUAUUAUGGACAAAAGGUACUUAAUAAUGUUUAGAUUGUAUUUUCAGUCCCGAAGUCUUGCUCGGGAGCAAAAAUGAGGAAGGAGAAACAAUUAGAAGCUGGAGAAUGAAGAAAGAAGUACAAACCUGAAGAUACUCGGCGAGUCCAAGCAUCUACUCAACGAGUUUCCACAAAUGUUCGCGAAGCAAUACGAAUAGUCCUUGCCGUACACGGAUUUUACAAAGAAACUCGACGAGUUGUCCCUGUUUUGAGGAUCUUAUAAAUAGAAGUCAAAUUCCGAAUCCACUAUCUUUUCUGGCUUUUCUGGAGGAUACUUUGCGACUAAGGUGACCCUUGGAGACCUAAAGAAUGUGAGAAGAACCCUAAUCUCUCAUUCUUAGAAGAUUCAAGGCAACUUAGGUUUAAUUUUCCACUUUAUCUUUGAAUUGAACAAUGUUUGAGUUGAUUACUUUCAUUUUUUGCUUUUUGACUACUGUAAUCAUGAUCUAAAUUUACAAGUUUAUGUUUAGGGAAGACAAUUUUACUCCUAUGGAUUAAUUUUAUGGUUUUAUUAAAUGAUUAUUGGUGAUUUUGUUAAAUUAAGCUUGGUAAAGAUCCUUAUGCAUUAACCACAACUAUUCUCUGUUAAUAGGAAGGCAAUUUGGCUGCAUGAACAUCUCUUAAUUGUUUAGCUCAUAUGAUUUAUGUGAACACUUUGUUAUGUGCCUAGGAUUAGUGAAUAUGAAACUAGGAUUAAUUAGAGAAUGGGUAAAUUAGUGAACAUCUCUUCUUGUUGAUAAACCAACAACAAGAGGCUAAUUGAAUUAGUAAUUUGAUUAACCAAUUACAAGUCUUAUUUAAUCCGAAUAAUUGAACUAGGGAAUUAAUUAACUUAAACACUUGAUCAUUGCUUAAAUUAAUUGGUUUUCUAAGGAUUGGUAAUAGCGAAUGCGAAUCUAAUCACUUUAGUCGGUAACCAAUAACAAUUAAUCUAUUGCUUUGCCAUAAAAUUAAGCAUAGGAGUGAAUGAGUUGAACCUAAGCAAAAACCUUUUAUUAAAUUUGAUGAAUUUUACUUGGUUUUAGUUGAUUUGUUAAUUGCGUGUUAGUUAGUGUGUCCAAGUUUCUAGUCUUGUAAAACUAGAGAAAACCCUUUUAAUUUUACUACAUGUUGGUUAAAAUAAGUUAUUAGGUUCCGUUCCUCAAGUUCGACAUCCUACUUAUUCAACUAUACCACUAAAAGAUAGGUUCGCUACCUUUGUGUGUUUAAAUUAUAUUUUUAGAGUAGGAAUAAAACAAGUUGGUUUUACACACAUCAUGUUUUUGGCGUCGUUGUCGGCGAACGAUUCAAAAAUUAAUUCUAAUUUAUAGUUUUAUCGAUCCUUUGUUUGAGUUUAUCUUGCACAAAGUUAUUUUUCAGUAAUUUAGUAAUCAGGUUAAGUUUUAGUAUUUAUUUGUUCUUAUUUGUUUUUUAAUUUGUUUUUAGGCUUUUAGGCAGUGUACUCGCCGAGUGCAGUCGAACCUACUCGGCGACUUCAGUGCUGAUUUCCAGUUUCGCUUUUUGUUCUUUUUACGUGUUUUUCUUGCUUUGAUUGCAAAGUGUUUAUGACCAGAGGAGGCAAUACACCUUUAAAUCCACCACUUGAAGACGGGGAAGCUACUUUAAGGAAGAACAAAGGCAAAACCGUUGGAGAAUCUGCAUCUUCAAAGAACUCACCUUUGAAGAAUCUAAAAGUUGUCUUUAGUAAGAAAAAGGGGAACAAAGUAGGAGAAUCCAACUUCUCUUCAGUGGAGGACGAAGACCCGAAAAAGGAGGACACCGAGUACGAAACCGAAAGGGGAGAAUCUGAAACAAAGGAAGAAAGCGAAUUGGAAGGAGAAUUAGCUAAGCCCAUGGCUAACAUCGAUGAAGUCCCCAUGGGAGAAUGGAAGAAGAGGAUACGUAACAAUACCGGCCCAGGACUAAUGCAACCCGUGAUUCUCACGACAGCCACUUUCGAACUUAAAGGCCACAUACUCACCCAACUUAAAGAAAUUCUGUUGUAUGGAAAAGAUCACGAAGACGCGUACAAGCACCUAGAAGAGGUCAAUGACAUAGCUGAUUACGUUAAAUUUCCUAAUGUGGCCCGCGACACCGUUUUGCUUCAUAUGUUACCGGUCACGUUUAAAGGCGUUGCAAAAGACUGGCUAAAAUCACUCCCUCCAGGAUCCAUCACCACAUGGGCUAAAAUGAAAGAAGAGUUUGCUGAUCAAUUUUGCCCGCCAUCAAAGAUAUACAAGUUGAAGAAAGCUAUAGCUAAUUUUGGGCAACAAGUCGGAGAAUCACUUUAUGAGGUGUGGGAGAGGUACAAAGGCUUACUAAGGAAUUGCCCACAACAUGAUCUUAAUAGUCAGCAAGAAGUCUCCAUUUUUUAUGAUGGAGUAAACGUGACGACAAGGUAAUUACUUGACUCGCAAGGAGCGCUCACAAAGAAGGCACCCCCGGUGAUAAAACAACUAAUUGAGGAAUUCUCUAAGCAUUCUAGAGAAUACCACAACCCAAGAAAUGAUGUGACAAAGGGAUCAACUUAUGCAGCUUCAGAAGAUUUUUCGGAAGUUAUGGCAAUGUUGAAAAGCAUGGAUAGAAGGAUGGAUAAAAUGGAUCAAACAAUCCAUGCUAUUUGGGUAGGAUGUGAGAAUUGCAAUGGGCCUUAUCUUACUAGAGAUUGUGAUUUGGACGAUAACCGGAAAAAGAAAGCGCAAGUAUGUUAUUCUAGUGGUGAUAGAUUUCAUGAAGAUUGGCGAAAACCUAAGAAAGAAUGGCUUCCUUAUGAUGAGUACAAGAAGGCGAAGGAGGAGAAGUAUAGACAAAAGGCAAGGGGUUUUUACCAAAAGGAGGAGCCGGUACAAGAAAAGAAACCAAAUUUAGAAGAAAUGCUCACUAAAUUUGUAGUUGCAUCCGAGAAAAGACACAAUGACCACGAUGCUGCAAUACAAGAUACAAGAACAAUGUUAAGGAAUUAGAAAGCAUCUAUUCACAACAUUAAGAAGCAGCUGGGCCAACUUGCCCAACAAAUAAAUCAAAGAGCAUCGGGAGAACUUCCUAGUAAUACAAAAAACAAUCCAUGAGGCGCACAUAUAAAUAUUGUAACAAUUAGGAGUGGGAAGAUAAUUACUCCUCUGACACUACUCGCCGAGUCCAGGAUAUGGACUCGACGAGUCCGACACCUGAUCAGAAAAUUAAGUCUCCUGUUAAGUCAUAUCAGCCUCCACUACCAUAUCCAGCCUGAGCUAGACAAGAAAAGAAUGAAGAAGAAUACCGGAAGUUUCUAUAACACAUAAAGGCUCUUCAAAUCAAUAUACCAUUCAUAGAAGUGGUUGCAUAAAUGCCAAAAUACGCCAAAUUUCUCAAGGAGCUUCUAACUAAUAGAAAGAUGAUCAAAGAAGUGAAGAAAGUGGUUCUAAAUGAAAGUUGUUCAGCUGCCAUGUUGAACAAACUACCAAAGAAGAAGCGUGAUCUGGGAAGCUUAACCUUACCUUGUCAAAUCGGAAAUGUAGCUACCAUCUAUGCAUUCACUGAUUCAGGGGCGAGUGUAAAUCUCAUGACAUACUCAUUUUUCAAGAAAUUAGACCUCCCGGAGCCAAGGCCAAUUCGAAUGGCAAUUCACCUAGAAAAUAAAACGGUUACAUUCCCAAGGGGAAUAUGCGAAGAUCUACUGGUGAAGGUUGAUAAGUUCGUAUUUCCCGCGGACUUUAUAGUUUUACACAUGGAAGCGGAUCCUCAAGUCGCAAUCAUUCUUGGAAGACCUUUCCUUAACGUCGUAAGCGCUAUAGUUGACAUGAGAGUUCCAAACUUACUCUACGGGUAGCGUAUGGAUCAGUCAGUUUUGGGGUCUAUCAAGCCAUGAAGCACGCAAGGAAUUGUGAUGACACAACAUUUUCGAUCGAUAUGUUGGAAGAAUUAAUGGAGGAAUGGAAUAAUGAAGAACCAAACAAGUCCACCAUCACCUUUUAUGAAGAAUUCGAUGUUGAAAGAGACCAACUGGAAAUAGAGAGACUGCUUGAGGAAGCUGAUUAUAAUGGGCUGACCAGAAGUAUUGAACAGUGUACUCGUCGAUUAAACUCGACCAACUCGACGAGUCCAUCCAAGGAAUCCCAAUCAGUCGUGAAAUUUGCCCAGGACUUGACGAGUCCCCUCAUUGGACUCGACGUGUGCAACAUCCAGAACACGAAAACUAAGCUAAAAGCACUACCAGAUCACUUGGAGUAUGCAUUUCUUGAAGACGGUCAAGAAAAAACUGUAAUUAUAACUGUUGAUUUGGCCAAACAUGAGAAAAAAAGUCUUGUGGGGGUACUAAAGAAGAGGCAAGGUGCUAUAGCAUUGAAGAUAACCGACAUCAAGGGAAUUAGUCCAACUUAUUGCUCUCAUAAAAUUAACUUAGAAGAUGGGGCUAAACAUGUUGUUCAACGCCAAAGAAGACUAAACCCGUACAUGCAAGAAGUUGUGAAAAAGGAGGUAGUGAAACUAUUAGAUGCCGAGAUUAUUUACUCAAUUUCCGAUAGCCCGUGGGUGAGUCCGGUGCAGGUGGUACCGAAGAAAAGAGGAAUAACGGUGGUAGCAAAUGAAAAUAACGAAUUAAUUCCAAUAAGAACGGCUACCGGGUGGUGUGUUUGCAUCGACUAUAGGAAAGUAAAUGAUUCCACAUCUAAGGAUCAUUUUCCAUUGCCAUUUAUUGAUCAAAUGCUCGAGAGGCUGUCCAGGCAUCUAUAUUAUUGCUUUCUCGAUGGUUUUUCGGGGUAUUUUCAAAUUCCAAUCGACCCAUUCCUUUUGGGUUAUGCAAUGCACUGACUACUUUCCAAAGGUGUAUGAUGGCCAUUUUCCAUGAUAUGAUCAAGAAGCUUAUAGAGGUUUUCAUGGAUGAAUUUUCGGUUUUCGGGUCCUCUUUUGAAGAUUGUUUGUCCAAAUUGGAUCUAAUGUUAGCAAGAUGUGAGAAGAGCAACCUUGUCCUUAAUUGGGAGAAGUGUCAUUUAUGGUGAAAGAAGGAAUUGUGCUUGGACACAAGGUCUCGAGGAUGGGGAUAUAGGUGGAUAGAGCAAAGGUGGACACUAUUGCCAAAUUACCACCUCCAACAAAUGUCAAGGGGGUAAGGAGAUUUUUAGGCCAUUAAGGGUUUUAUAGGUGCUUUAUUAAAGACUUUUCGAAGAUCACAAGGCCCUUGACUCAACUUCUUUUGAAGGACGCCCCAUUCAACUUUUCUAAAGAAUGUAUUGAUGCAUUUCAUUUGUCGAAGGAAAAGUUGACUACUACACCUAUUAUGGUAGCUCCAAAUUGGAGUCUUCCUUUUGAGCUUAUGUGUGAUGCCAGUGACUAUGCGGUGGGAGCUGUUUGAAGACAAAGAAUUGACAAGCAUUUUCAGCCGAUCUACUAUGCAAGUAAUACCCUGAACCCAACACAAGAGAACUACACUACUAUAGAAAAGGAGCUACUAGUAGUGGUUUUUGCAUUUGAUAAAUUUCACUCAUAUUUGGUUUUGUCAAAAACCAUAGUUUUUACCGACCAUUCUACCCUUUAGUAUCUUUUUGCUAAACAAGAUGUUAAGCUAAGGUUGAUUUGUUGGGUGCUGCUGCUACAAGAAUUUGACAUUGAAAUACGAGAUAAGAAGGGGAUGGAAAACAUGGCUACCUAUCAUCUAUCGAGAUUGGAAAACCCACACUUGGAAGAGUUAGAAAAAAACAAGAUUGGAGAUGAAUUUCCUAAAGAAUAUUUAUUAGUUAUAGUAGGAGAGAUUCCAUGGUUUGUGGAUAUAGCUAACUACUUAGCUAGUGAAUACAUCGCACAAGACUUGACCCGCCAACAAAAGAAGAAGUUCUUUUCAGAAAUUAAGUAUUACUUCUGGGAUGAGCCAUACCUCUUUCGUAGUUGUGCUGAUGGUAUGAUAAGAAGAUGUGUAUCCGGGAAAGAAAGUCAUGAAAUCUUGAAGCAUUGUCAUAGCGGGCCCACCGGAGGACAUCAUGGAGCGCAAUAUACAACCAAGAAAGUUUUUGAUUCGGGUUUUUAUUGGCCUACUAUCUUUAAAGUUGCUACAAAUUUGUCAAAUAAUGUGAUUCAUGCCAAAGAUCGGGAAACACUUCAUCACGAAACGAGAUGCCCCAAAAUAGCAUUCAAGUUUGCGAAAUAUUUGAUGUUUGGGGAAUUGACUUCAUGGGACCUUUCCCAAUGUCAAAGGGAAAUAAAUACAUUUUGGUAGCAGUCGAUUAUGUAUCCAAAUGUGCGGGGGCACAAGCAUUACCCACGAAUGACGCAUGAGUAGCGGUACGUUUUUUCAAGAAAUUAUUUUCAAAGUUUGGAGUUCCAAAGGCUUUAAUUAGUGAUCGACGCACCCACUUCGCCAAUGAUCAAUCAGCUAAGGUGUUGCUAAAAUAUGGUGUCCACCACAUAUUUUCAACAUCCUAUCAUCCUCAAACGAGUGGGCAAACUGAAGUUACAAAUAGGGCACCGAAGAGAAUAUUAGAAAGAUCGGUUGGAAGUAAUAGAAAGGAGUGGUUGGAUAAGCUUGAUGAUGAACUUUGGGCGUUUAGAACAACUUUCAAAACACCUAUUGGUACUACACCAUAUAGGUUGGUAUAUGGGAAGAUUUGCCACUUGCCAGUUGAGAUUGAGCAUAAAGCAUUUUGGGCUUUAAGAAUGUGUAAUUUUGAUUUGGCUGAACAUAGACACAACCGAUUGAUGCAAAUGAAUGCCCUUGAAGAACUAAGGAAUGAGGCAUACACUAGUUCCUAGAUCUACAAAGAAAAGACUAAGAACUGGCAUGAAAAAAGACUCAAGGGUAAUAAGCACUUUCAUGAAGGAAAAAAGUGUUACUUUUUAAUUCAAGGCUCAAACUUUUUCCGGGCAAGCUAAAGACACGAUGGGAUGGUCCAUUUAUAUUGAAGAAAUUUUUUCCACAUGGAGCUAUUGAGCUAAUAUCAAUAGAUGGAAUUCCAUCAAGGUCAAUGGUCAUAGGGUGAAAAGAUAUGAAGAAGGAAUUUCGAGAAAUGAAGAAUUUGAAGAAGGGCUACUGCUGGAAGAGAUUACAGAAACGUAAGCGGGAAGGAGUCCAUCUAAUGACUCCUUAAAAAGAAGCGCUUCCGGUAGGCAACCUAAGUUUAGAGUUUGCAUUCUUUUCCUUUGCUUUUUAUUUUCAUUUAUUUUUUUUUUUACUUUUAGGAUCUAUUUUUAUCAAUCUUCUUCUGAAAUUAUGCUUAAAAUGAUUGCUUGAGGGCAAGAAAUGCUCAAGUGUGGGGUCGUGCUUAAAAAUCGAAUUUUAGUUAAACUGAUUAAGCAACUCGUCGAGUCUUUCACUCCUGCUCGGCGAGUCCUUUCUGAAAUUCACGCAAAGUUGCAGAUUCGCGCUUCUACUCGGCGAGUAGUCACUCCUACUCGGCGAGUCCAGAAAUUUAACUGAAUUUUUUUUUUUUUUUUACAAACUGUUAAUAGGGUUCUGUUUUACCCUAAUCACUUUCAUUCAGCCGCCUCCCAACCCACACUUGCCGAGUAAAGUUCUCUCAAGCAACUUCUUCAAUUUUCGCUAGUUCUUCCUCUUACAAGCAAAAAGGUAACAUUUUUCUACUUUAUUCUUAAUAAAGGUCAUAACUUGGACAGCUUGUAGUAGGUAUUUUGCAAAAAAUUGGAUUUGGGGGUUUACUCCAAAUCUAGGAUUUUGAUUUUAGGACAAAUUAGGAGGUUUUGGACAAAAUUUCCUGUGAAUUUAUGCUUAAUAGCCUUAGAAUAGAAAACCCCUAUACAAAUUACUGUUAUUGGAUGGAUUAAUCUGGACCGACUGGAAAAUGAACUCGCAGUUCAUACUACUCGCGGAGUAGUUCAUGAACUCGGCGAGUACAUCUCACAGUGGACCUGUUUUGCUUAUGUUUAAUAUGUUAUGGGUUUGGUUUCUUGUUUUCUUGAUUUUGUUUUGAUGGAAUUAUGUCUAGACGUGGCCAGAGCUCUAGAGGAGGUGGAUAUGGACACAUUCCAUGGCUUAACUUCAAGUAAAUUACCUCAAAAUCUUCACAAGUCCAUGCAAAACGCAAUCUUGAAACACUGAAACAGAAGGAGAUAUACGUUCGCAAUGCAAUUAAUAUGGAAUGGAUGAGUCAGACGGAGCUGGAGGAGGAACUAACCCUUUACUUGGUAAAUUCCUGUGUAAAUAGGAGAAUAACAAUCAUUUGUGAUGGGUGGAUUCGGCUAUUCAAGAUGCAAGAACCCGUGUUCGAAGAGCUAUGCUGGGAGUUCUUCGCUACCAUCUCAUUAUGGGGUGGUAGUGAUUACUAUAGCCCGAAUAUUAGAAGUUAUUGCCUUGGAGGAGAGCUGCAUCAAUGCAACAUAUCGGAGCUUGCGUGGAGGAUUGGGAUUUUUGAUCAAAACGUGAUCAUGUCAGAGGAUUUCGAGGCAUUUUUGGAGCAAUGCCAUAAGGAUUUACCUGAAGGAGUUUUUCCCUGUACUUGGUGGAAUAUGAUCGCCAACCGGGUCUAUAUUCCAUCUUCCGUCCAAGAAGGCUUUAUCCGUUCACCCAUCCAUCGUCUUAUCCACCGUCUCAUUGCUAGCACCAUCAACAUGAGGAAGGAUGAUGACAAAGUUCCCACUCUCGACAUUUUCUAUUUGUGGAGUAUUAUCACACCGGACAUUUUUUGCAACUUGCCUUAUUGUAUAGCAAAGUACCUUGCGGAAGGAGCAGUCAUGGAAAAAAUUACCUCGAAAAUUACUGGGGGUAUGUUUAUUACGAGAUGGACAAGGUCUUCUAGGAUUUUGGAUAGGCAAGAAGCAAGGGCAUUAACAAUGAUUUCUCCCCCUCCGUUUAGCAUUACAUUAUUUAGGAGGGCGAGGAUUAUUGAGAAGUUUGUUGAGGAUACAUUUGGGAUCCCAAAGGAGGGAUCGACACCAAGAAGACCCACAGGUCAUUCCGGUGGAAGAGGAAAACACAUAAUGGGAUAAUGUGGAAUUAAGGAGGCAUUUGGAUGACAUUAGUCGGGGCAUUAACUACAGUAAUGAAUCAUUUGUUUAUCUAUUUGAACAAAUGAAUGUUGCACCGAGGCCCGGGCCCGGAUUCCCAUAUGUGAUGAGUUGGGAGGAGCGUCUGCUGAAGAGGAACAAUCAAGCAAGUGGGAGUGGAGCUAGAGGAGAUGAUAUUGAAGAAGAUUGAAAGUUUAUGUUUUUAAUUUGGAUGUUAUUUUUACUUUGUUGGUUUGGUGUUUUGAACUUUUAUGUACUAAGAUUUAAUUAGGAGUGUGCUUGUUUUCUUUUACUUGUGGUUGGCUUGUAUCUUUUCAGGUUUGAAGAUUAGGAUGCAAUAUAAGAGUCUCAUUCGUCAAGGUUAGAGUGAGGGUCAGGUCUAGAUAAGAGUAUGCAAUUUCAAGUUUAAGAUCGAGUCCGUUAGGAAUAAUGGUGACAAAAUGUGUUAUUUAUUGAAGAAAUCAAAGAAGUGUCACAUAAUUGACAUAUUCCAACAGAUUAGCAAUGGAUCAGAAGCAUAACAUUAUUUUUUCCACCCAGCGCUCUACUCGCCGAGUGCACGUAUUGGACUCGACGAUUCCAUUUGCAAUAUCACGAUUUUCUGAUUAGAAUCAAAUUACUCUCCGAGUUUCCGUUCUACUUGACGAGUCACUCAAGAUUCAGGUUUUAGUCAUAUUAUCAUGAAGAUUCAUUCAGGGAGAUUUCUAAGAGCUUUUUCCUUAGUAAUUGGAGUUAUUUAGAUGUUUUACCACACGAGACAUGACACCAAAGGCAUGGAUAAGUGUUCCUAUGUCUAAAGUCAUUUGAAGAUAGACCUACAUUGAAUAUGAUCAGCCUCGCCACUGCUAUCCCAGGGGAGUUUGUUCCAAUUCCCUCUUUAUUUUUGCAUGUUUCUUUUAAUGCAUAACAUGCAAUGGGGACAUCGCAUGAAUUAAGUGUGGGUAAGGGUUGGUUAUAUUAGUAAAUUUAGAAUCCUAAAUUAGGCUUAAUUUUAAAAAAAAAUUGCAGUAAUAUUGCUAGGAUCUUAAUUUAGAAAAUUUUGGUAAAAGCAAUCAGGAUUCCAUGUUAGUGUUAUGUUUGAUGAUUACAUGAAGACCUAAAUGUUUAGUUGAGCCUAUAUAAGUUCUAGUGCAUUUGUGGCCUCCCUAUUCUAGUGAAAACAUGGGACAAAAACACGACCUCGCUUAGUUUGAGGAUCACAAUAAGUUUAGCAUCGUGUACCAGAAAUGUAUCAAGGAAAUUUUUGUUUUAUCUUUAACCAAUAAAGGUUGAAGUUGAGCGCCCCUCCUUAAGCAUGUAGAUUUUGAGUGAUAAAAAGUUAGGUACAUGUAUUAAAAAAGAGAAAAAAUUACAAGAAAAGUUGAAAAAAAUUGGAGCUUUUAAAGUGAAGAUCAAAAGAUCAAAAUUCCAAAAAUUCAAAAAGUUGAAGAUACCCAAAAUCAAAGAAAAUCAAAAAGUUGGCAAAUUUGAAGAAUUCAAAGAAAUCAAAGUUCAAGUUAUCAAGAAAGUGAGGAAUUCCAAAAAGUUCCAUAGUGGUAUCGAAAAUUGUAAUUGUCUAGAUUAUGUAUGCUUUGGUUGCUCAACCAAAUAUACCUUGAGGUUAAGGGAGUUUUCUGAGGAUGGAUUUCGAGGGAUGCAUAAAAUGAGUAUUGUUCGAAAGAAGUGGGAAAGUAUUUAUGAGGAUUGUGAGUAUUUAAGAUGAGGGGGGGUCAUUUAGGAAAAAUUUAGACACAAAUGCAUGCGUUGUGGUCUUGGCAUAAUGGCUGGGUUUGAUUGGGAUUGUCUCAUGUGAUUCUAGUGUGCUAAAAUUCAGUUUUUGCUUGGGGGCAAGCAAAAGUCAAGUGUGGGGUAUUUUGAUAUGUACAUAUUUAGCCUUAUAUUUGUUGGAUAAGGUGUCUAAGUCCAUAACUAUUCCGGGCUUGUACNNNNNNNNNNNNNNNNNNNNNNNNNNNNNNNNNNNNNNNNNNNNNNNNNNNNNNNNNNNNNNNNNNNNNNNNNNNNNNNNNNNNNNNNNNNNNNNNNNNNCAUGUAUAAAAAUCUUUCACCCAGCAUAGACAGCAAGUACUCAGAUAAUAUGCACACACAACAUGUAAUUUAUAUUAAAAUACUUCAUGUCUAUGUGUAAGAUGAAAGGGACUAUGCACUCACCUGAGAAGGUGGUGACUCGGUACUCGGACAGCGCUUCGUUUACUUUAAAAUAAUUUCCUUCGACGAAACCUAGUAUUAUUACCACUAGAUUUUAGUCUAAUAUUUACCGUGACUAAUUAUUAGUCUUAUUAUUAUUAUNCGGACAGCGCUUCGUUUACUUUAAAAUAAUUUCCUUCGACGAAACCUAGUAUUAUUACCACUAGAUUUUAGUCUAAUAUUUACCGUGACUAAUUAUUAGUCUUAUUAUUAUUAUUAUAUAAGCGUUUAAACAAUACUUUCCAACCACUAUGUACAGACAGGGGCCAGACAUAAAACACCGGAGGGCAGGACCAUUUUGGCAUAUAGCACUUCUGAAAUCCAACAACCCUAUGCGGCCCUUUAAACCAGAUUCCCCGUACCGCGAGUAGUUAAAAAGAUAUUAUAACGACACUUAUAUAAGUCAUAAUAAUAGCUCAAAUAUUUAUUAUAAAUUUAUAAUAACAAUACUAAUUUUAAAUAUAAACUAUAUUUAAAAUAGGGUAAGCAUAACUUACUUACAAGGGGAUUUUAGCUAGGAGUCGGGCUUUGUAGGGGCAGAACUUCGUCGCUGAAUCUUUCUAAGAAAGAUUCGUGCAGCGCUUCAGCGCUCACCUUACUAUACUAAAACUACAGAAAGAGAAGUCGAAUCACGAGGGACCGAAAUGCUCGGGGGAUAAGGAGAGAAAGACUCUUGAAUCAAGAGAAUGGUGCAAGAAAUAUGAGAGCCCAAGCCUCUUAUUUAUAGUAAUUGAAUUUACAAAAACUACCCUCCAUAAUUACUUAAUGACCUUAUAGUUAUAUAAACAACUAAACACCCCUUUAUAAUACUAUUUUAAAUAGAUUUAACAAUUUUGCACUAAACUAAUGUCGAAAGAACUCAACAUUAUUCUUAUAAUGACCACAUCGUCGAUACCUUUCUAAUGAUAUAUACAUAUGUAUAUAUAUUUGUACGUAUAUAUGAUUUAUACUUUAUUUUAAUACGUAAAUAUGCUAUUAUAUUUUAUAACUAUUUCAUACGAAUUCCGUUUUUGACGUUCUUUAUAUCCACGCGUAGGCGGGAACGUACCCUACAACUUUUGUUUAGAACCCGUCGGCUAAUUUUGAAUUUAUUUUUAAAGUUAUAUUUUUAACAAGCCGGGACAGGAUUGGUCCGUUAAAAUCUCAUAACUUCUUCAUCCGAUGUCCAUUUUUGUCUGUCUUUUUAUCGUUAUGCUACUAAUAACGAGAUCUUCGAUUCUCGUUUAGGUCGUGUCGGCUAAAAACCGCUCGAUCUAAUAUUCGAAUUUUGGGCUGUGCACUGCUAAUCCGAAACUUCGAAAAAUCAUAACUUUUUCAUACGAAGUCAGAUUUGGGCGUUACUUUUAUCGAAGUUCUUAGUUUAACAUAUUCUACGACUUUCGUUUAGAGCGCCAAGGCUAAAUCACGCUCUAUCUUAAAUUCACUAUUUUCGCCUCCGGGUAUCGAGCCGGUUCCGUCGCGAAACUUUGACGGGUCAUAACUUCUUCGUUAUAACUUGGAUUUCGGCGUUAUUUAUAUGUACGGAAACCUAGUGACAUAUACUACAACUUGGUUCAAAUUAUUUAUAAGCUUCUUUCGAAAAGUCACUUUCGACACUUAUUGCCUCUAAUUUAACUAGCCCGGAUCUGCGGGCGUUAAACCUUAAGUGUAAAUCCUGAAAACUGCCAAACUUAUACUCGAAGUCUGGAUUUUCACUGUAACUGUUCUGCUUCUAUUGGCUUCAAAUGGUUUUUACAGAAUGGAAAUUUCGGGUUGUCACAUCAUCCCCCUGUUAAAGGGAAUUUCGUCCCGAAAUUAGAACUUAGAUAAGGAAGUAAGUAUGAAUGAUCGAGUCGUGAGGAGGAAACUUCUUAAUCGAUUGGUUCUAGCGCACCUAAGUGAAAUCGGGUUCUCGGUUGGCAUCCCAACGAACCUUCACUAACGGGCGAUGGCGUUGUUUCGUCCUCUUGACCUCUCGGCCGAGGGUCACUACGAUUCUAAUACGAAGGCGAGGAUCUCGACAAGUGGACUUACUAGAGUCCUAACGGAAAGGUAUGGUUUCACGAUCGAGACGCGAAGAGUAGAAUGUACGUUACUGAGUUCAUGGAGUAGGUCUAUUUUGCGAGAUACAUGACUGAUUCUGGUAAGAAUCUCGGAGGUCCUGUCUAUCUUGGAUUUAGACUUCCUAAGGAACUUGGUCACUCACUUGGAAUUCCAAUGGUUUCUUUUUCUUGUUUAACUUCCCAGACAAAGGUCACCCCUUGUUGGGUCAAAGUCGUACGGUUUACUGUGAUUUGUGAGGGUUUCUGGAUGAACUAUGACAGUAGGUCUGUAAGACCUAGAAUUUGGCGAAUGACUGUUGGCGUCUCCGGUGUCGAAAAAUGCUCACCGGUUUUGACAAAUUGAAAAAGUACUCAAAGUUUCCCACGUUACUAGCAGUGUGUCAUAGAAAUUCGACUCUUCAAUUUCAAAACUCGUGCCUAGGGAACUUCGCGAAAAGUUCCUCUAAAGGUAAUGUUUCCAUGGGUUUUCUUCUUACUACGAGGGUAGAUAAGUAAGUCAUUACAUGGAGAAUUGACGAACCGAUCCAAGUAAGAAAGACGUACCCUAGUCAUAUAGUUCAUGAAAACUAUGGGCGUAUUGGUCCUAUCCGAAGGGUAUAACUUAUAUGUUGUUCUAUAUCUCCAUGAAUCUAGGAACUUUUGCUUGCAUUGUCUUAUUUGGUCUACGUACCGGAACUGAGAACAUUCGAGAUUAUGCAGGAUUAUACACGAAAGAUCCUUUUUUGGCUCUCUCUUUAGCCCUAUGUCUCUUAUCCCUAGGAGGUCUUCCUCCACUAGCAGGUUUUUUCGGAAAACUCUAUUUAUUCUGGUGUGGAUGGCAGGCAGGCCUAUAUUUCUUGGUUUUAAUAGGACUCCUUACAAGCGUUGUUUCUAUCUACUAUUAUCUAAAAAUAAUCAAGUUAUUAAUGACUGGACGAAACCAAGAAAUAACCCCUCACGUGCGAAAUUAUAGAAGAUCCCCUUUAAGAUCAAACAAUUCCAUCGAAUUGAGUAUGAUUGUAUGUGUGAUAGCAUCUACUAUACCAGGUCUCGAAGUGUCCGUAUCGAGUUCGGAAGAUAGUCUUACGGACAUCCUUCACUAACACUCGAACUGGUGAUAUUCAGAUCUCAAAUCCAUUUCUGAAAGUAAUUCUUUCCUUGCGUUUGCUCAACCAUUUCAUCUAUGCGAGGCAGAGAUAACGAUUUCUAAUGAAAAAUAUUGACGGAGUCCUCGAUAUCCGAGGUACAUAUUAUGUAAUCCGUCAAUCUAUGGGAGAAUAAGGCUGGGGUUCUCCAAGGUGAGAAGCAUAGUCAUGAAAUUCUAUUUCUAUGUAGUUCGCUAAGUUGUCUGGGCUGUUUUGGUAUCUUCGUAGGUGUUUAGACUAUAGGGUGAUCUGUUUACAAGAGUCGUAUUGGGUCCUAUGUUUGUUCACAUGACGAUGUGAUUACUCGUAGGCUUAAGCAGUUCUCCGUCCUGAAGUUCAUAUUAGAAUUCAUACAUGGUUCACAAUCACAAUUUCGUGUAUACGAGUCAUAUAUAAUUAAGAUUGAAAAGGUAGUCGAAUAACUGAUUCUUCUUUAAGCUCACAUCCCAUCGGGGAAAAAGAAGUUAAAGUGGAAUCAUGAAUUCUAAACCUGUAGAACCUUGAUUAUAUAUCUCUCUUAUGUAUACAUUCCUCAGUGAUAGAUCAAUCGCAUGAAUCCUUGGAUUGAACUUGACGUACUGCAUGAGGGGGACUUCGAGGAUUUCUUCGGAAAGAAAAUAACUAAGAGGUACUCCUGGCAUGAGUACUUCGGUGUUCUGAUAUGACGGCUUCGCUGGAAAAGUGAUCUAGAAGAAAGAGAUGUAUGUAUGAAGCUGUUUUCGUGAAGAACAAAUUGAAUCGAGUCGUAUGAUAAUGUCGGAAUCAUACUGAAACUUAAAGACAUUAGAUUUGAACAUAAGACGUUUACAGACAAAACACAACCGUGCAACCAUGAACAGAGUUACAGUACUUUAGAUUUACCACAAGACUAUUGCUGCGAAUAAGAUAUACUACAAAAGACAAGUAUACGCAGCACGAGAAUCCCUAUACAGACAAGAUCUCGCAAAAGGUAAGACUCUAGUUGCACUAGUUCUGGAUAGUUUAUAAGUCUGUUACAACAACACGCCUAAGUUACAUUAACGAGGGUUCCGGAGUAGGCUCUCCUACAGCUGUGAUCCUGAGAAUCCUCCCAUCUACGCUAGAGUUCUUUGCUAUUGGGCAAUCCUUCUUGACGUGCUCUAUCUCACCGCAUUGGUGGCAUGACUGGCUAGUACUUGCAUUGGUGAUGGGAUUGCGGUGUUUAGCCAGUGUUAUGUGGACACGAGUGCCUUCCUCGUUACUCCACUUUGAAAAUUGCUUCCUAAAGCGUUCGGUCGGAGUUGCCACUGGUGGCUGUGGCAUGGCAAGACUUUGGGCUCUCUUGCGCUCCCUUAAGGAUUUACGAUAUCGUCUUUUCCUUUCGGUCUUUAGGCUUCGCAAGUCCAUGACUGUUGCCAUUUGUUGGUUUCCCAAUUUGGUACUACCAUCGGAACUCCCAACUCCUUUUUUAGUCUUAUUUGUGUUGCCUGAGUUGAUGUGUGUAAGGAAAGUUGUCACAGCAGCUGCUACUGCAGCUUGUAAUGUAGCGGUGUCGAUAUGGAGGAUAGGGUUUUUGUUGCUCGGCUGUUUAUUUCCUGAUGACGACAUGAUUCUGUAACACGAAAGAUAAAGAUUUUGUGAGCGAUUUUGGUUGACCCUAGAUGUACUUCCAUUGCACAAGAAAAGAGUAAGAGUAUGUUCUCGAAAGGUUGACCUACAUCCCUAUGAUGCAGUCCUAGUACGGAUUGGAGGUAUGAUCACGAAGGUUUCACCUACAUCACUAUGAUGCAGUCCUAGUAAUGAGUAGAAGUAAGUUCGUAGAAUGGUCUCAAGACGUUUGUCGUUCAAGCCGAGGUAUCGUGGGUUGGUGAAUAACAAGAUCCAACCACUGAAAGACACUUGGAAAUGUCUCCGGAGCUAAAUUACUAUAGUCCAAUGCCUUGACUAAAGCAGGCUUCAGCUAGACUCCAAUAAAUGUAUGAUAAGAGUACUUGAAUAAAGAAUGACACGGAAGUUAGUCGACUAUCAAUAUCUUUGAUAUUCACGACGUAAAGAUUCAGGAAAAUGACCUUGUAAAGGUCUUACAUCAUAUCCAAAGAAGAUAGUUCUUGACAGCAUAAGGACCUAACCCAAAGUACUUACAGUAUAAGGUAAUUUCAUAGAAAAUGCCACAUCGGCCAAAGACAAAAAAAACGAUUCCUUUUAAUAAGGAAAAUAAAGUAAGGCGUCUACUACUCGCGACGGUCAUCCCUCUGGUGAACUCUCAGUUCAGCCAGUUGACAUUCCACAUCAAGUAGGUGUCUUUCGUACACCCUCUGGCAUACUCGGAGCUCUAUGACUUCGGCUCGUGAUUCAGUCAGUGCUUGCAGCAGAGUUUCAUGGUUUCUCUCAGAUUUCUCGCGAGCCUCUUCUAGACAAAUGGUGCAGAUGGUAUGCAUUCUCGUAUCAACGACAUCUUCGGUAAUCUGAUGUAGGGCUUUCCUGCCUUGAAUCUCAUUUCGGGCCACUCUACGGACAAAGAUUGGCAAGACUCUAUCUGCUGAGCCUCCAUCGCUCAGGUCGUAAAAGAUUCGGUCACCAUUAAAUGGCAUGGGCUGAUCUUGUCCUUGGAUCCAUGUUUCCAAGCAUUCUACCCAAGGAGGCGUUGGGCAAUGAAAAGCCGGACGAGGGUUAGGAUUUGGAAAGGGAGCUGUAACACCGUAGNGGGGUAGGUUCUCAACCUCGGGUUCGGAUUUAGCAUCGUCUGAAGGGUCUUAAUCAUGGUGAUCAUCAGAAGGAUAGGAUGAUCAUUAUCUGGUUCUUCACCAAACCAACCAGCAAUGACCUCGUUCGGAAGCAACUGGUUGCCGUGGGGAUGGAGUCCAGCUAUGUUAUCUACGCGAGAAUUGGGGUAAGAAAAUAAUUAUUAGACGAACUAUCUAGAUAAUUAUUUAGAAAAUCUUCAUCAGUUACAUCGCUAUUUGUGAAGUGCAUACCAGUUAUAUGUAAUCGAAACAGGAUAGGCCUUCGAAUAUGUGACCUUAACUCCAAAUUCACACAGAAUCGGGGUAAGGUAAAAUUUCACAGAUUCUCAGUCUAUAACAUCCUAAUUACAUAUAUCCUUAGUGUAUCCACAUAGCAACUAUCAACUUAGUAAUGAAGAUCCCCUUUUAGUUCUCAAGUAUAAAGUACUUAUAGUAACACCAAAUACUCAUAUAGUAUUUUAAAUUUUAAUGUUAUGUUCUAUUGUUCUGAUUGUGGUAGGGUUGGUAAGAUUUUAGCAUUGUUGCAACCACACAAUUAAACUUAGGCACAUGCUAGUCAACUCUCGGAUAAUAUAGGUGAUCAGGCUAUAUCUUCCCAGUUUUGACCAUAUGUCUCUAAGCCCACUUGUGUUGCCCAACAAUCGUAAUUCUUUUGUACUGUCCUAGUGACACUGAUUUUAGUAUGAAUGCAGGACGUAUACUUACUUAAAUAUUUUACUAUUUAAAGUAUAAACUCUUGGUCAGAGUAUUUUUAAUCCCUUAUGUAUUUAUAGUUAGUAUAUCUUUUAUGGGUUGAUAUACUUAAUUCACUAUAAACAAUGCUCUGAUACCAAUCUGUCACACCCCAAAACCAAGAACGGCGGAAACGUUCUGGGGCGGAGGACGUCAUGUACAGUAUCACAACAAUGAAAAGUAGUAAACAAGCAACAACAUCAUCCAUUGCAUUAAUAAUAUAAUUAUUAUACAAGUGUUCUGUCAAAUUUUGAUAAACACUAAAGCAUAAAUCAAAAUGAAAGAUGAGUCUUCAACGGGCUCCAUCUUCCCUAUUCCUUGCAUCGGUACCUGUAUAUGAUGACCUGUGGAGACAAGUAAUUUUGAAAGCAAGUAUCAGCUUUGAAGCUGGUGAGAUCAUAAGUAUUUUAGUGUCUUAAUUUGUAUGUAAAAAUUUGUAAUUUUAAGAACUGUAAGUAUGGAAAAUGUAUAUGAAUUGUAAGUAUUGAAAAUGUAUAUGAACUGUAAAUGUAAAAAUGUUUGUAAAACAACUGUAAACGUUUGAAAAACCCUAGAAAUCCCUAUGAUUCCUACUAUUAUAUAAAGUGUGUCUUCUACCAAGACCUAACUGUUCUCAAUGUAGUCUUCUACCAAGACUUAACUGUUCUAAAUGUUCGUUUCUUGUAAAAGUGUGUAAUUUUCCCAAGUGUAACUAUCAUUNNNNNNNNNNNNNNNNNNNNNNNNNNNNNNNNNNNNNNNNNNNNNNNNNNNNNNNNNNNNNNNNNNNNNNNNNNNNNNNNNNNNNNNNNNNNNNNNNNNNNNNNNNNNNNNNNNNNNNNNNNNNNNNNNNNNNNNNNNNNNNNNNNNNNNNNNNNNNNNNNNNNNNNNNNNNNNNNNNNNNNNNNNNNNNNNNNNNNNNNNNNNNNNNNNNNNNNNNNNNNNNNNNNNNNNNNNNNNNNNNNNNNNNNNNNNNNNNNNNNNNNNNNNNNNNNNNNNNNNNNNNNNNNNNNNNNNNNNNNNNNNNNNNNNNNNNNNNNNNNNNNNNNNNNNNNNNNNNNNNNNNNNNNNNNNNNNNNNNNNNNNNNNNNNNNNNNNNNNNNNNUAUAUGUAAUGCCAUGAACUAUUCUAGCUGUAAUGUAUGUGCUCUCUACCUAGCAAGUNNNNNNNNNNNNNNNNNNNNNNNNNNNNNNNNNNNNNNNNNNNNNNNNNNNNNNNNNNNNNNNNNNNNNNNNNNNNNNNNNNNNNNNNNNNNNNNNNNNNACACACAUAUAUAUAUAUAUAUAUAUAUAUAUAUAUAUGAUAUUUCCCUAGUCAAAAUCUCUAGUACACAAGCCUAAACAUCCAGGCCCAACCCUUAAGGCCCAGUAAAAGAUUUAGCCCAAAAAGCCCACAACGAGGUUACGCGGGGCCUGCGUCCCUUCGGACACUCAGUGUACACAAGCAUGCACAAAUCCUGAUUGGGGAGACCUAUUGGAUUAGGUGUCUAAGUUCAUAACUAUUUCUAGAAUGUACUUGACCCGGUUAGCACGGUCCAUUUCUGGUUCCAUGGCAUUGCAAAACUUGGAUAGACUAAAUGAGAGAAAGGACACUUAUGGUUUAUUAAUAUAUUAUAAGUUCUAAUAUAUUAAUAAUAUUAUUUAAUUAGCUUUGACCAAGAAUUAAUUUAGAAUAAAUUUGGUGAUCAAAAGGAGACUAAUUAAAUAUCUGGGGUUGAUUGUGCAAAUCAUCCAUUCUUUUAUAGUGGGCUAAUGAUCCAUGGUUUAGUGAAUUGGGCUAAAACCCAUAAGAUGCUCCAUUGAUAGUCCAUGGAGGUUAUAAACCCAUGUAUCAUGGAAUAUGGAAAGCCAUGUCUAUUAGGGUUUAUAUGUUGUAACCGUACUUGUGACACAACAAUAAAAGGACCCCAUGGCUAGAUAAAUUGGCACACUUUGUGUAGAACAAGAGAGCUAGCCGAUUUUUGAGUGAUAGCGUACUUCUCUUAAAGUUAUUCCAAGAGUUGUGGUGUUGUGUCAAACAUUUGAGGCAUCACACUUGAGGUGCUAGGCUCACAAGGUUCUCAAGGAAUCCAAGCAACAACAAGGGUAUGUUCUUCUACUAGCUUUUAUGUUUCAAAGUUCCCCAUGUCAUGCUAGUUAGGUUAAGAGCCUUGGAAAUCAAAUUUGCAUGUAUCUUAGUAAAACAUAGAUCCAAGGUUCCUAGGGUUGCAUGUACACCUUAGGAGUGUUAGAAUGCUCCAAACGCUUCAGUGGUAUCAGAGUCUAGGCUUGCUUUCUUGAUACUUGAUGUAAAUUGUUGAAAAAAACUCAUGAUUUCCGCAUUCUACUAAGUGAAAUCGCCGAGUACAUGGGGGGACUCNNNNCGAUGAGUCCAUGUAUUAUUUCAUCCUACUCAUCGAAUAGGUUCUUGCACUGGAUGAGUAGGAGGCUCUGAAUGCAGAUUUUCGAGUUUUGCUGCAGCAAAUGGACUAGAAACAUUACCCUAAAUUGUUUUGGUCUUAUAAAACUUGUUUUAGAUGGUGUAAUGCUUAUGCUAAUCCAUUUACAAGGGCUAUUAUCAAAAUUUCAAUUUUUGUAUGUGUUAUUUAUGAUUCUUGAAGUUGUUGAUAUGAAUGUUCAUGAACUUAUGAGUUUAGAAGAUCAUAGGAAUCACUUGCAAAUAGUUUGUUAGUUUAAUUCUUGAUGUUGAUGUGUUUUUAUGGAAUCCAUAAUUUGUCCUCAAGUUAUGGAUUACCAAAAGUCUUUAUUUUAAUGUCCAUUAUAGAACACAUAAGUUACAUGAAAAUGAAGAGCCUUCAUUUUAGUAAACCCAUUAACUCAUAAGUUAUGAAGUUGAAAAGCUCUAAAAGUUACAAACUUGUCCUCAAGUUUUGGAACAUGUAAAGUCAUUUUAAAAAACUUUAGUUAUAACCCCUUGAAUUGUAAAUGUUAAAAUUCAACCGUUAUAGUUUAUAAUAUUCUAAUUUAUAUAUANNNNNNNNNNNNNNNNNNNNNNNNNNNNNNNNUAUAUAUGUAUGUAUAAGAACAAGUCGUUUUACUGUUAGUAGUCCUCAUUCAUGAAGCCAGUCUAAAAGGGGGUAUAAGGUUGUUUCCUAUAAAAUGGCAGCUUAAUGGGUGUCCACUCUCACCCACCGCUUCCUUGACUGGUGGAGGGUCGUUAGCCGAACGGGUAGGACAAUGAAUUUAAUCCUCAUUAAAAGUAUAAUGGUUAUAAAGGAACUAAAUGUUUUUAUAAAUUCCCAAUCUUAGUUACUUUAGGAAAAUGUGAAUAUGUUGCUAACCCAUGAAAUUACACUUUGCACUUUGCUUAAGUCGUUAGUGGAGCGUGUGUGGUCAACCGACACUCUAAAUUGGACUUAACAAGGUAGGAAAAGGGUGGCUUAAGGUUUAUUAUAGAUCGGUGGAGCGCGUGUGGUUAACCGAUACAGAAGUUAGGUGAUAAACAUUAAGAGUACCAAGUAAUUUGCAUGGUUAAUUCACACCUUGUUCUGUGAUCCUCGACAUCUCAAUCACAAAAAUUGAAGGGCACAUUCGAGAUUGAAACAUCCCAUUGAAAAUUUUAAUGAAUCUCAAAAGAAUAUAGGAGUUUGAAAACCAAUUAAAACCUAAUAAUUUAUUUUGUUUUUCAUGGUGGAAAUUGGUGAAUCGUCAUUCACCUACUUCAAAUAUUUUAUAGCUUGGAUUACGGCAUCCCUCGUCUAAGUUGUAAAAUAUUGUGUUGGGUCCUAGCCUUAAUAUUACAUUUGGGUGUCUUAUUAAGGACUAUCUUUAUAUCUAAUCUAAACUUGUCCUUAUUUCUUUUUAGGUGUCUUCCAACAAUGUUGCUUCUGGCUCAAACCUUAUCGGCUCCUUGUCUCUCAUGAACCUUUGUGAUAAAGUCAUCUUCGAUGGUUCCAACUUUAUGGAUCUGAUCUAGAACAUCAGGAUGGUCACUUGUUACCAAGAAAAGGUGUAUGUCCUCGACACGGAGCUUAAGGAACUUGAUGAUUCGUAUGCCACUCCUGAGGAGAUCGCUGAAUUCUGGACUUAUGAGAGAGAUGCCACGAAAGUGGCAUUUAUCAUGUUGGCCACGAUGACAGCCGAGCUCCAAAAGUCCUAUGAGGACUAUUACCCUUUUGAGAUGCACCAGGACUUGAUGGACCGCUACCAUUAGAGAGCUCGUCUAGAGCGGUAUGAAAUCAUCUCCUCCAUUAUAACAACCCGAAUGAAGGAUGGUGAACCCAUCACGAGCCACAUGCAAAAAAUGCAAAGGUAUGUGGACCGUUUGCUGAAAUUGAACGUGAACUUCCCCGAGGAGUUGGCAAUUGACAUCAUUUUGCAUUCCUUAGCUUCGUGUUAUGAUCAAUUCUGAAUGACAUACCACAUGAUCAAGAAGGAAGUUACACUCAACAAACUUCAAGGACUUUUGAAGACGGCCGAAAGUGGUCUUAAAGGUAAAUCGGUUGUUACCACUCCUACUCCUACUGCGGCCCAUGUCUUGGCAAUCGGGCAAGCUACAGGUAAGAAGAGCAAGAGCCCUUCGAAGGGUACCAAAGGAAAGUCCCUAGAUGGCUCCUGUUCAAGUGGAACCAAAAGAGGUUCUGUCACUCCUUCUGCCAACCCUAAAGAGGUUGACUGCUUCUAUUGCCAUGAAAAGUCGUACUGGAAGCGAAACUGCCCAAAGUACGUGCAAGAUGUUAUGGAUGGGAAAGUGAAACCCAACUGAUUUGUGUAAAACUAACUCAUUUUAUUCCUACUCUAAAAAUAUAAUUUAAACACACAAAGGCAGUGAACCUAUCUUUUAGUGGUAUAGUUGAAUAAGUAGGGCGUCGAACUCGAGGAACGAAAAUUAACCUAAUAACUAAUUUUAACCAACAAGUAGUAUAAUUAAAAUGGUUUUCUCUCGUUUUACAAGAGUAGAAACUUGGACACACUAACUAACAUGCAAUUAACUAAUCAACUAAAACCAAGUAAAAAUUUACCAAAUUUAAUAAAAGGUUUCUGCUUAGGUUCAACUCAUUCACUCCUAUGGUUAAUUUUAUGGCAAAGCAAUAGAUUAAUUGUUAUUGGUUACCGACUAAAGUGAUUAGAUUCGCAUUCGCUAUUACCAAUCCUUAGAAAAUCAAUUAAUUUAAGCAAUGAUCAAGUGUUUCAGCUAAUUAAUUCCCUAGUUCAAUAAUUCGGAUUAAAUAAGACUUGUAAUUGGUUAAUCAAAUUACUAAUUCAAUUAGCCUCUUGUUGUUGGUUUAUCAACAAGAAGAGAUGUUCACAAAUUUACCCAUUCUCUAAUUAAUCCUAGUUUCAUAUUCCCUAAUCCUAGGCACAUAACAAAGUGUUCACAUAAAUCAUAUGAGCUAAACAAUUAAGAGAUGUUCAUGCAGCCUAAUUGCCUUCCUAUUAACAUAGAACGGUUGUGGUUAAUGCAUAAGGAUCUUUAACUAACUUAAUUUAACAAAAUCACCAAUAAUCAAUUAAUAAAACCAUAAAAUUAAUCCAUAGGAGUAAAAUUGUCUUCCCUAAACAGAAACUAGUAAAUUUAGCUCAUGAUUACAGUAGUCAAAAAGCUAAAAAUGAAAGUAAUCAACUCAAACAUUGUUCAAUUCAAAGAUAAAGUGAAAAAUUAAACCUAAGUUGCCUUGAAUCUUCUAAGAAUGAGAGAUUAGGGUUCUUCUCACAUUCUUUAGGUCUCCAAGGGUCUCCUUAUUCGCAAAGUAUCCUCCAGAAAAUCCAGAAAAGAUAGUGGAUUCGGAAUUUGACUUCUAUUUAUAAGAUCCUCAAAACAGGGGCAACUCGUCGAGUCUCUUUGUAAAAUCCGUGUAUGGCAAGGACUGUUCGUAUUGCUUCACGAAAAUUCGUGGAAACUCGUCGAGUAGACGCUUGGACUCGCCGAGUAUCUUCAGGUUUGUACUUCUUUCUUCAUUCUCCAGCUUCUAAUUGCUUCUCCUUCCUCCUUUUUGCUCCCAAGCAAGACUUCUGGACUGAAAAUACAAUCUAAACAUUAUUAAGUACCAUUUGUCCAUAAUAUGCAAAUAAUUAGCUAAUAAUUGAUAAAAAUCUAUACUAAAUAUUGAUGGGUUUUGAGCAUUCUAACACUUCCUAAGUGUACAUGCAACCCUAAUAACCUUGGAUCUAUGUUUGUCUAAUUAUCAUGCAAAGUUGAAUUCCAAGGUUAUAUUCCUAUCUAGCAUACAUGGGGAACAAUUUUAACUUGAAUCAUAGAUAGAAUAACUUACCUUGUUGUUGCUUGUGUUCCUUGAAACCUUGUGAGCCUAGCACCCCAAGUGUGAUGCCUCAAAUGCUUCACACAACACCAAAUGCUCUUGGAAAGACUCUUGAGAUAACACACACUUCUCAAAAUCGGCCAAGCCCUCUAGUUUCUUAGUGUUCAACUUGUGUAGCCAAUUUUGUGGAGAAUGGGACUCUUAUAUAGUGUUGGCACAUCUAGGGUUACACCAUGUAAACCCUAAUGUGUCAUGACUCUUCAUUUCCAUGACCCAUGGGUUUGUAACUCCCAUGGAGCAUCCAUGGAGCAUCCUAUGGGUAGAACCCAACUUGAUAAUCCAUGGAGCCUCUUAGCCCACUAUACAAGAUAUGGAUGAUUUACAUAAUCAACCCAUAUAUUUAAUUAGUUAUCCUUUGAUCACUUAAUUAAUUCCAAAUUAAUUCUUUGAUCAACUAAUCAAAUAAUAUUAUUAAUAUAUUAGAACUUAUAAUAUAUUAAUAAUCUCCAAGUGUUAUUUCUCUCAUUUAGUCUAUCCAAUUGCAUGGUGCCAUGCAACCCAAAUGGACCAUGCCGGGUCGGGUCAAGUACAAGCCCGAAAUAGUUAUGGACUUAGACACCUUAUCCAACAGUCUCCCACUUGGAUAAGUCUAAUAACUAUAUCUCUAGUACUUCAGGAACCGACCGGCAAUCGUAGCUCUUUCAAGGUNAAUUAGUACAACAGUAGUUCUUAUUAUACAAAACUACAGUACUACAAUGAUUUACCCAUUACAUAUUUUGGUGAUAAUCUCACUUAAGCAUUAAUGUACAAACUAUAUUUUAUCAAAUGAUAGUUAUACUUGGGUAAUCACACACUUUUACAACAGACGAGUUUACAAAACAGUUAAGCCUUGGUAGAAGGUUACUAUUAUAGAAAAUAUAGGAUUUUCUGAGAGAUUCAAACUUUUGCAAAUACUUUUAAACAUUUAUUUACAUUUUUACAAACUUAUACAUUGGGACAAGUUCAAACGUUUUUGACAAUGAACAUUGACACUAAAAUACUUAUGAACUCACCAGCUUAAUGCUGAUAAACUCUUUCAAAAUAACUUGUAUUCUCAGGUCAUCAGUAGACAGGUACCGAUGCCAGCUUUUGAGAUGAUGGAGCGUACUCAAGACUCAUCAUUUUGUUAUUUUGAUUUACGUUAUAUUUUUGGUGUCUAAAAUUUUACAGAACACACAUGUAUUAAAUUUAUAUAUUUAAUGCAAUGGAUGAUGUUGUUUGCCUAUUUACAUUUACUGUGUUGUGAUUACCUUACAUGACGUCCUCCACCCCAGAACGUUUCCGCCGUUCUUGGUUUUGGGGUGUGACAGACUACCUUUAGACUCAAAGAGUGAGGGUUUGGACUUAGAUCUUAAUUGGGUAAUUAUGGAUUUUGGUCCAGUGUUAGAGGUCGGUGUGCGACAGCAGAAUCUAUAGGAGAUGUUCAUCAUACGAGGAGAGUCUUCUCACUAUACUUACCAUGAGUGGUAUCUUCAUGUGACUGAGGUGUCUUAUGCGCUUAUAUUGAGUAUUUUGAUAUCCUGCAUUAUGUCUUUGUGAUUUAUGUUGUAUAUUAUUCUGAGCUUACUGAGUUAGGACCGGAGGGUCAACCCGAGUUGUGGCACCGGAGGGUCCCACUGAGACACAUUGACCGGAGGGUCUUAUAUGAGUAUAGCCAUGAGAGCCUAAUGAGAAAUGUGUGGUAUUUUGGCAAACUCACUAAGCUUAUUGCUUAUCGUGUUAUGUGAUAUGUGUUUCAGGUUCUUCUCAGGGUCACGGGAAUGCGCCGUCUUGAUUGUACACACAAGAGAAAGCGUUAUGUUUUGAGGAUCCUGGAUUAUUAAUUAAACAAUUAUGGAGUUGCAUUUUGUAAAUUAAAUAAUUGUGAUUUUUGUGAAAUACGUUAUGAGAAUUAUGUGAUUUUAAAAUGAAAAAUUUGUUUGAAAAUCUACGGUGUUACAAGUUGGUAUCAGAGCCUUGGUUUGAGGAAUUCGGAUGCACCUUUUGGUAUGUCUGGACUCAAACUGAGGAUUUGAGAAGAAAUUUCUAAAGAAAUGAUUUUUCUAAAACAAGCAAGAGUUUCUAAGAGAAAAACAAGAAGGCGCAUUGUGUACAAUCAGCCAGAGCCCGAACGGUGAUUUCCUAAAAUAACCUUACUUAUUUGUAUUAUGAGUUAUUAUUGAGAUAUUAGUGAUGCAUGCUAGAAGAUAGGCUAGGUAUUUCAUAUUUUAGGGCUAGAUUUGUCUGAUUUGUGAUGCCUUAGCCUAGGAUUUGUUGCUAUUUGUGAUGUGCUUUGAGUAUGUAUGGAGUAAGAGUAUCCAGCAGGAAUCUUUUAAAGAGAACGUUGAGUAGAGGAGUAAUCUAGGAGAGAUAACUAGAUGAGCAUUAGAGGAGCCUACUAAGGGAGUAGUUAGAUACCCGCAAGAGUUAGGGUUGCUUGAGUUCGGUGAUACGUUUUGAGUGUGAGUAGAGAAAGUGGGGAUUAUUCGAUGCCCGAAUGUUGCUUGCUUUUUGAUUUGUGGAACUCUUUAUGAUGGGAGUCAGCUACUAAGUGAAUAUGNNNNNNNNNNNNNNNNNNNNNNNNNNNNNNNNNNNNNNNNNNNNNNNNNNNNNNNNNNNNNNNNNNNNNNNNNNNNNNNNNNNNNNNNNNNNNNNNNNNNGUUGUUUGAGAGAUAGGAGGGAUAGAAGUAGGAAUUGUAACAGGUUGAGGUGAAGGAGGCAAAGAGCGAACCGGAAUUUCUGGAGUAGGGGAGCGAGGUAGAGUGUCCCCUCGGCCCGAAGCCUUUUCAUCAGAACUUUUGGUCUCAAAGUCUGAAGAUGGAGCGUUCUUCUGCCUAGGAGGAACAUAUUCUGAAUCCAAAUCGCUUGAGGAUUGAAGAAUAAGUUUCCUAGCAGGCUUCUUCUGCUUUUUGGGUUGAGGUUAAGAAGGAGCAGCUUUAUCAGAUUUCCUCUUCUUGGGGGUCUGCCCCUUGGAUGGUUUUGUUAUAAGUCCUUCCUUCUGUGAUUCAGGUUUCUUGCUCCUUUUGGCUGGUUUAUCAGCUUCGUCAAUGGAACGAAGCAUUGUAGGAGUAAGCUCACGUGGACCAACGGACUUAUGUUUUCUGUACUGCUGAAAAAGAUUGCUUGAGGCUGAGAUAGAACCAAGCAUUGUUUUAGGAAUAUAGCCAAUGUACGAGAUUUUGGUAGGAUCAGUGACAAUGAUCUUCGUCGUAUGAAAGGUGGCGAUGGAGGAAAGCAAGUAAUCCGCCAUAAUAGGGAAACCGAUUGCGAUCCAUUGCCCACUUGGUGAUAAUGGUCUAGAAACGCCCACAUGAAAUUUCUGAGUGCUUUGACGAAGAGAGUAGACUUUGAACCAGCUACUGCCAAAUUAUAGACCCAUAGUCAAGGUUGAGCCCACUGUACAACCCAUACAACACUAUCAUAAAAGCCUUGCUAGCACCAUCAGAACCAGGACUUCGCUUAGAUAAACCCUUGAAUAAAAUAGUGAAUAGGCCAUUCCAUUGAGGAGGAAGGCAGGACUUCUUGAACUUCGUGAUGGUAGUUAGGGUUUCAAUUUACCCCAUCUGAUAAAACAUGGUAAACAGUUGGCCAGUUGUAAUAGAAUCAGGGUUUACCAAAGACGGAUCUUGUGAGAGACCGAUUAGGGCAAAAAAUCCGCUCUUGGAGAUGGAGACCCUCUCAUCGUGAAGCUCGAAGUGGAUACGUUCAUUAGCCUUGUUGUAGAACGCCGUAGAGUAGACAUGGGAUAAGAAUGACAUAGGCACAAUUUCAACCUUUGUCAUUGUAUCGACAAAUGGAGAGUGUUUGAGACACUCAACCACACACAGCAUGUACGACUCAAAAACAAAGGGAGUGAGAUCGAUGAUUAGGUUUUGUUGGGGUUUUAUAGUGAGUAGGGGUUGACAAACUGAGGUAUCAUGAACAGAUGAAGAUUCUGCCAUUGUAGGAGCUUGAGAAUGAAGAUGAACAGUGCAGAAAAUAGGCGGGUUUCUUUGAAGGCUUUUUGGAAGUGAUAAAGGUUGAGAGAGUAUUCUUUCAAUUCCAUUUAUACGUACAAGGAAGAGAGAGAAGAAUCCGGCUGAAAUCUUGGAUUAUCUCUAAAAUCGCGCCUGAAUUGAUGUGGGAACAGUUGGCAUGCCGAAGAUGACACAGGAGAGAGAAAAACAUUUCCCCUUUUUCACGCCUUUUCAUAAAGUCACCUUUUUCAAAUCGACAAACCGUUUGAAUUUCUACUGAGUCAGCUACCUUUUCAUCCCAAUCAUUUCACCUGAUGACACUAGAGUGUUUGUGCCUUGAUAAUCUAUGUAAAACUUAGAGUUUUGGAAAAUUAAAAAUUUCCGUGCAAAGGGUGUAAAAGAUAAAGAAAUAAAACAAGUUUUUUGGGAUUAUCUGUGAUGUCGUAUUUAGACAUAAACCAAUUGAUUAUGGGCAAAAAUCACUUCCUUUAAAGUCAAGAGAGAUAUUGAAGUGCUUGCUUGGUUUCCCAUGAAAUAACGAUCAGAAACUUGUUAAGAAGUUUUGAAAGGCAUCUUUUAAAGGUUAAAGUGGGUGGCUUUCGCUUCAAUUCAUAAUUUCGAUACUUAACAUAAGAUCAAAAAGAGAAUGAAGUACUUGUGAGAUCAUUGUGAUCUGUUGAACAAGUAGGUGAGAAAUAAUUUAUAGUGACGAGAGAAUUUAAGAAAUCUAAAAAAAACAUAAACUGGAUCUUUUAGGGUUAGAGAAACCUUGGUGAAAGGCAAUCUCAUAAAGAUCACUCAAAAAGAAAAGGAGAUUCCAUUCGGUAACAAGUAAGAUCUUGAAUUUGUGAAUUCACCGUCAAUUCAUUAGUGGUGUUGAAUUUUGGGUUUCACUUAGUACAUAGUAACAUGAAACUAAGAUCAUGAACACAGAUUUUGUAUAACCAUAAACCUCAGUGAUUAAAACUGAGAGUCUUAGGGGUUAUAGUGAUGAAACGAAAUAUAAUGGAGAAAGAUGAUGGAGAUGGUGUAAGAAGCGAAUGUACCUCUGCUUUUUAAAGAAAAGAUGGGCUAAGCAGACAAGUCUAAACUCAGUUUGAGUAGAGUAAGGUAACUCAUGAUUAGGGUGAACUUGAUAGCCUGGAUUGGGAAAACAUGAUUGGUGUAGAUCAUGUUAUUAAGGCUUCACUCAGAAUCAGUUGAGACUUGAGUCUACAUACAGCAACAUGCCUCUAGGGACACCUAACAAAAAAAAAUUACCAACCAGAGAUGCGUCAUCUAGAAUCAUACUUAGAGAAACAGAAAAACGUUAGAAAUAUGGAAAAUAGUAAAAAAACAGAAAAUAUUUUUGGGUUUUUGUGAAAAUUGACCAAUUGAACGAAAAAAAUAUUUUUGGGAUUUUAGAAAUGAAAAGGAAGUAAUAAUAAAAAAAAUAUACAAAAGAAUACAUUUAAAACGCCUUAAAAAAAUAAGGAAGUUCAGAAGGACCGAACCCGAAAUAGACCGAACGCUUGGUUCAUUUUGGUUCAUGGACCAACUUCACCCGAAAUAGACUGAACCCGAAAUGGGCCAAACCCGAAAUAGACCGAACGCUCGGUUCAUAUAGGUUCGCUCUAUUUCGCUUGUUACCUUUAUGGGAGCGAAGGCGAUUUCGGUACUGACUCGGCUUACAUCAUUCCUAGGCCUUGUAAGAUCUUAUUGAAGCUUGCUUCAGGUAAAGCCUUUGUGAAUAUGUCUGCCAGUUGAUCAGUCGUUCUUACGAAGUGAAUUUCGACGCUGCCAUCUUCGACGUGAUGCUUGAUGAAAUGAUACCUCAGUGCGAUAUGCUUAGUCUUUGAGUGUUGCACUGGGUUGUGGAAAAUUCUGAUUGCACUUUCAGAGUCACAGUAUAAGAGGAUUUUCUUCAUGUUUAAGCCAUAAUCCCGGAGUUAACUCUGUAUCCAUACGACUUGAGAUGUACAAGAUGCUGCAACAAUGUAUUUUGCAUCUGCAGUGGAUAACGACAUGCAAGUUUGUUUCUUGGAUUGCCAACUGACUAAUUUUCCAUCCAGAAAUUGACAUCCUCCUGUGGUGCUUUUACGAUCUAAUCCACGGCCACCUAGAUCAGCAUCCGAAAUGGCUUGUACGAAAAAUCUGGAAUUGGCUGGAUACCAUAGACCGAGAGAGGACGUUCGCUUCAGAUAGCAAAAGUUGUUCUUCACUACUUGAAGAUGAGGUUCUCGAGGAUUCGCUUGAAAUCGAGCACAAUAACAUACAGAGAACAUGAUAUCAGGUCUACUGGCUGUAAGAUACAUCAAAACCCGAUCAUAUGUCGAUAAAGCGUUGUAUCAGCUGCUGGUUUCUCCAAUAAUGGUGUGAGUUUCGUUCCAAAAGCCAUCGACACUUUUACUUUAGAGUCUCCCGUCAUUCCAAAAUUGGUGAGAAAAGUCUUGGUAUAUGCUUCCUGAUUAAUAAAAAUGCCUUCGGAUCCCUGUCUAAUGUUCAAUCCAAGAAAGAAAUUAAUUGGACCCGUUGAGCUCAUCUCAAACUUAGUUUCCAUCAACUUUCUCAAUUCAGCUGUUAAGCUAGGAUUCGUGGAGCCAAAGAUGAUGUCAUCAACAUAAAUUUGGACUAUCAUAAGGUGGUUACCUUCUCACUUACGAAAGAAGGUUGGGUCAACCGAACCUUGUUUGAAUUUAGACAAUUUUAAGAAACGAGUAAGAGUUUCAUACCAUGCUCUGGGAGCUUGUUUUAGACCAUAUAUAGCUUUGUCGAGGAUAUAGCAAUGAUCAGGAUACUUUUCGUUUACAAAUCCCGGUGGUUGCUCAACAUACACGGUUUCUUCAAGUUCACCGUUGAGGAAGACACAUUUGACGUCCAUUUGAUAGACUUCAAAAUUCUUGUGAGCAGCGUACGCUAGAAAGAUCCGAACAGAUUCCAAUCUAGCCACUGGAGCGAAGGUUUCUUCAUAAUCGAUUCCCUCUUCCUGACAAUAUCCUUUGACCACCAGCCUUGCUUUAUUACGAAUGACAUUUCCUUCUUUGUCCAUCUUGUUUCUGAAUACCCAUUUGAGACCGACAACCGAAGCAUCCUUUGAUGUUGGAAUAAGAAGCCAUACCUAGUUUCUUUCAAACUCAUUUAGCUCAUCCUGCAUGGCUUGAACCCAGUCUGAAUGAUCAAGAGAAAAAUUAACUGUCUUUAGCUCGAUUUUGGACACAAAUGAAUUGAACAUACAUAACUCGACUUUUGAAAAUAGUGCAGCCUGUUUCGCUUUGAUUUGAGAUCGUGUCAACACCUUUUCAGAGGAUUCCCAAUAAUUUGAGUCUGGGGAUGAUCUUUGGUCCAUUUCACAAGUGGAGGAUAUUUUGAAUCAUAGAUGGGAUCCAAUUCAGCAUUGAUUUCUUCUUCGAGUUCAGACAAGAUGUCAUUUUCACUAACUGUUUUCUCCCCCUUGAAGAAUGAUUCCUGUUCAAGACCAGCAUUUGUACCUCCUUCAUUUGUUGGAGUUGCAGUGGAGGUGGAUGUAUUUGUUGAUGAGUCCUCCCCUGGAAAGAAAAACCUUGAUCACAAUGAGGAGAAGAACUCUCUCCCUCGACAGUAGGAUGGUCAUCAGAAGGUUGGCUUCCAGUUGUAUCUUCGGUUCCUUUGGAUUGUUCAUCAGCCCUUUUCCUAGAAGCAUCGUCUAUAACUUGUUUCAUAUUGUCAACUUUGUUGUCAUAAGCAGUUGACUCUGAGUCGAUCACUUUCUGAGGCUCAUCAAACAAGAGCAUGAAUUGGUAAAAAAUAUUUGAGAUUGAGACAGUAACCUGACCGUUCUUUGGAAAUAUGUCUUGUGAUGCAUCUUCGGUUGCCCUUAACUUCUUAACAUAACUAUCAUCAAAAGUUACAUAGUAUGUUUCUUCAAUUUUCUUCGAGCGUUUAUUGAGAACUCUAUAUGCCUUGGAGUUCAGGGAGUAGCCUAUGAAAAUUCCUUCAUCCGCCUUAGCAUCGAACUUGUUGCGAUUCUCUUCGGAGUUGAAAAUGAAGCACCUAGAACCGUUUAUUCAAGUAAGAUCGAUUCUGAGUAUAGCAUGGAGCCGCAAUUGCAUCAGCCUAGAAGUAUAAUGGCAAGGAUACAAAUCAUAACAUGGUGCGGGCAGCUUCACACAAGGAUCGAUUUCUCCUUUCAACAAUGUCGUUUUGUUGUGGAGUAUAGGGGGCUGAGAAAUUGUGAGUUUUCCCCUUUUCAGCAAGAAAACUUUCAAAAUAUUUGUUUUUGAAUUCUAGGCCAUUAUUGCUCCUUAUAUUACGAACAAUCUUUCUGAGUUGCGUCUCUAUCUGUUUAAUGAAGAGCUUGAGCUUUGUUACAGCUUCAGACUUUUGCUUGAGAAAGAAGGUCCAUGUGAACCUUGAGAAAUCAUCUACUAUAACCGGAAUAUAUUUGUUUCCUCCAAUGCUUUCGAUGGACGAUGGACCACAUAAAUCAAUAUGCAAUAACUCCAAUGGUUCAUUUACCUUAGUGUUGAUUAUUGAAGGAUGGCUCUACCGACUCUGCUUUCCCAUUUCACAUGCUGCACAGAGAUGUUCUUUAUCAAAUUUCAAAACUGGAAGUCCUCUAACAUGAUCACCUAAGACUAAUUUGUUGAUGUCCUUGAUGUUCAGAUGAGAGAGCCUCUUGUGCCAUAACCAACUUUCAUCAGAGUAAGCCUUUGUGAGUAAACAGAUUGCUGGUUUACCUCUUAUCAGAUUAAGGUUCAGUGGAUACAUUUCUCCUUUUCGCUUGGAUCUUAAAAGAACGUUUCUUGACUUCUUCUCGGCAAUUUCUGAGCCUUCGUCGUCGAAAGAUACUUUCAACCCGGUACCAACCACCAGCUGUGAUACACUUAUGAGAUUGUGUUGGAGCCCUACAACGUAUGCUACCUUCCUUAUGGAGAAUUCGCCAUUAGUGAUCAUUCCAUAUCCUUUAAUAGUUCCAAACGAGUUGUUGCUAUACUUUACAAUGCCACCAUCUUUUAGAGAGUGAAACUCCGUUAGUUCCUCCUUCCUUCCUGCCAUGUGACGCGAGCAGCCACUGUCAAUGUACCAUUCUUCGUCAAACUGCUCGUCACUGAUAACCUGCAAAAAUUAAGCAGAUUUAGGAACCCAAAGUUUCUUGGGUCCUUGUGAGCCUUUUACAGGAAAAUAUAUAGUAAGAGAAAUAUCAACCAUAUAUGUGCGUUUAAUUAAAGUGGUUUCAUCCUUUCUUUUAAUGGUGAAAAAUUUAAUUUUUGUUGACUUAGGAGAACUAGGGCUUUUGACAGAAGGACUAGAAUUUAGAGAUUUGGAAUUAGGAGAUACGUUAGGUUCUUGAUUUUUGAGAUCAGACUUGUAGGCUUGAGGACCGAAACUUUUCUUUCGGUUAGAGUUGGAUGAGGGACCGAAACUUCCCUUUCGGCUGUUUAGGGAUGAGGGACCAAAAUUUCCCUUUCGGUUGUUUAAGGAUGAGGGACCGAAACUUCCCUUUCGGUUGUUUAAGGAUGAGGGACCGAAACUCUCCUUUCGGUUGUAGUUGGAAGAUGAACCGAAACCACCCUUUUGGUUGUUGAUGGGUGAUGGACCGAAACCGCUCUUUCAGUUGUAUUCACUUGAGGAACCGAAACUACCCUUUCGGUUCCAAUCUUUUGAAUGACUGAAACCACUCUUUUGGUUCCUAUCGUAACUGUGCUUCUGGUUCCUUGAGUUUUCCUCCAAUUUAGACUUUCUUUCAAUCCAUACAAAAUCAGGAUUUUGAGAGUUCCAAAAUCGUUUUCUUUCGGAGAGAUUCUUCUUGUAUCUUACGUUCCGUUGAUGCUUUCGAUCGGCGACUUGUUUGGGAUUUCUAUGAAUGUUGGCCUUUCUUUUAGAAGCAUGAGCACAACAUUCACUCUUUUUUAAAGAAGUUUCACUCGUAGUUUGCAUCGGUUCAUCCACAUAUGGUUUAGUUCCACUUGUGCUCGGCAUAUCGUACUUUGUAGGCUCAUUUAGUGGUUCAGGUAUGUAUCUACCUUUCACUCUCCAUGAGGUUUUCUGAGAGAGACCCUUCGUUUCAUAUACGUUGUCGAUUGGGGCUGACCAAAAGUACUCAUCACAUCCACCAACAUUGUCUUCUUCUACCAUCGCUGUUAACUCUGCAGUUUGUUGUGGAGUGACCCCCGACACAGUGUAAACUUGAUUUGGGGUAGUUUGAACCUUUUGCUACACAACAGCUUUAGCUUUGAGAGUUUUGGACUUGUCAGUAGUGGAGCGAGCAAACUCAACAGAUUUUUCAGAAAUGAGGUUCUUAUUGGACUUUGGUUCAUUCUUGGCUAAUUCGGAACAGUCUACCAAAUCUUCUACAAAAAUUUGACUGAUAUCAUUAUCCUCAUUAAGUUCAGAUGUAUUUUCAACAUCAAUUUUGUUACCUGAACUUAAGUUGACAUUCAAUGAGUCAAAUUUUUGUAUAGUUUCCGUUCUCAGUUUCAACCUAUCAUUUUCAUCUAGUAGAUUUUUUAGCAUGUCCUUGUGGUCCUUGGACUUUAUGUAGGAUUCAAUUUUGUCCAGACCUAUCUUAUAUGCUCGGGACACUUCAUUAGAGGACACGACACUUUCACAGUUGUAUGCUUCUGCAUCGAUUUCAUCCUCCUUUAAUUCAAGGAAAGGUAAAAUCAUACGAUGACUUUUCUUCCCUAUUUCACAAUCAAGAUGCAACCGAGUAAUGUUAAAAUAAAGCCUCUUAGCAAUUAAACAAAAAACGUUUCUCUGUUUGAGAAGUUUAAGAUUAUCUCUUUGCAAAUAAAUAGAAUCAUCUUUUGAUCUAAUUAAUUCUUUUUCCUUUUGCUCGAUCCACAUUCUUCGUUCCUCACUCUUUGAUGAAAUCGUACUGAUUUGAUCAGUUAGGUUAGAAUUCGUGACACGAUUUUGGGUGAGACUGCUACUUAUGCUAGAGAAUUUUGACUUCAAAUUAUUUAAUUCUUUUUCAUAAUUAUUAGCUGGUAUUUUUAGAGAGGCAAGAAUAUCUUGUACCUUUUUGAUCAACUCAUCGCAUUCAUUGAUCUGAGCACUGACAGGCUUGCUAGCGAAACAUCUGUCCUCUCGCUCUCUUUCUUCUUCAACUCCCCAUCAGUUGUGUAUCCCCUCAUUUGGGACACACCCUCGGUCACUGCAAAGAAUCUUCCCAUUGACUGCUUUGCUUUUGCCAUCAUAGCCUUUCCGUAAGUAGGCUUACUAACUUCAUCAUCCUCCGAAUCUGUGGACCAAACUUCCAGACUUCCAAACUCAUCACUGUUGGUUGAACCCUGCACAAUUAAAGCAUUCAUAGUAGAGUUAUUAAUAGCAUGCUUUCUUUUCUUUAUCUCCUCCAAUCUUCUCAGGAGGAUCGCUUCCUCGUCAUCUUCGCCUGUGUUCUCUUCUUUCUUUUCUCAACAUGCAGUCUUUGGCAAAAUGAUUUUUGCCUCCACAGUAAUGACAGUGAAAUCCUAAGUCGCCUCCAAUUUUAGUCUCCUUCUUUGACUCUUCAGAUUUUGAUCCCAUCUUCGGUUCCUCCUUGACUCGUUCGACGCUAUAACUACCCUGCCAAUUUCGGUUCUUGUUGGCUGGGAAUUUCUUCUUGAUGAAUUUUCUUGGGUUCGACACCAUCACUGCAUAUUCUUCGCCGGUUAGAUCAAAUUCAGCAAGAUCUAAUUCCUCUUCUUCUUCGAUCGAACUCUUUCCUUUAGAGACAAGAGCUAGAGAACCAAGACCCGAAACAACAUUCGUUUCCUUCAAUAAGGCAUUCUCAUGGGAUUUUAAAAUACCCACAAGUUUUGCCAAAGAGUAUGACUUGAACUGUUCAUGAGCUUUGACAGUUGACACAACGGCCAUCCAUUUAGAGCUGAUACCAUUCAUGAAAGUGUCCUUUUGUUCAAUCACCUUUCUUUCAAUCCCAUGCUUUAUCAUCUUGCUCAAAAGAUGAUUGAAACGAUCAAAAGUUUGGACAAGCUUUUCUUCAGGCUUUUGCUUAAAAUCACCAAACUCUGAUAACAGGAGCGUUUGAAUAGAAUGUUCCAGAUCUUCAUAUGUGGAAUAUAAUUCCUUCAAUCUAUCCCAGAUCUCCUUAGCUAUAGCACAAGAACUUACCAGAUNUUAGAGCUUUGAUGUUGCACUGGAACUUCUCUUUUUCAUCCUGAGGAAUGUCUUUGACGUCAUUAACAAGCUGAUUGUAUUCCUUCUGCGUUUUAACAAUCUUUGACAUGCUUGAAUGCGCGAAUGGGCCUGAGGUGAUUGCUUCCCAAAUUAAAUACCCAUUGUCCUCCGAUCCAAUGAUGUAGUCUUCAAAGUGAUGCGUCCAGACUUCAUAGUCUUGCGUANNNNNNNNNNNNNNNNNNNNNNNNNNNNNNNNNNNNNNNNNNNNNNNNNNNNNNNNNNNNNNNNNNNNNNNNNNNNNNNNNNNNNNNNNNNNNNNNNNNNUCGAAGAAGUUCGUAGGGUUUUUAAUUCCGCAUUGAUUGAUAUUUAUUGAUUCGUCACUCUUUAUUGACGUAUCUCAUUAAUUGUUAAUCCAACCCUAAUCGAAAAAUUACAAGUCUGAUCUUUUACAGGUUUUCGAUCAAAAGUAUUCACGAUGUCUAUGGACGAUUCUCAAACCAAUCCGAUCAAUAUCUUCAACAGCAUAGGGUCUACAACAAGAAUACUGAUCUUGUAUACGCAAGACUAUGAAGUCUGGACGCAUCACUUUGAAGACUACGUGAUUGGAUCGGAGGACAAUGGGUAUUUAAUUUGGGAAGCAAUCACCUCAGGCCCAUUCGCGCAUUCAAGCACGUCAAAGAUUGUUAAAACGCAGAAGGAAUACAAUCAGCUUGUUAAUGACGUCAAAUACAUUCCUCAGGAUGAAAAAGAGAAGUUCCAGUGCAACAUCAAAGCUCUAAGGAUGAUAAGGUUUGCGCUGCAAUCGGAUACGUUUCAUCUGGUAAGUUCUUGUGCUAUAGCUAAGGAGAUCUGGGAUAGAUUGAAGGAAUUAUAUUCCACAUAUGAAGAUCUGGAACAUUCUAUUCAAACGCUCCUGUUAUCAGAGUUUGGUGAUUUUAAGCAAAAGCCUGAAGAAAAGCUUGUCCAAACUUUUGAUCGUUUCAAUCAUCUUUUGAGCAAUAUGAUAAAGCAUGGGAUUGAAAGAAAGGUGAUUGAACAAAAGGACACUUUCAUGAAUGGUCUCAGCUCUAAAUGGAUGGCCGUUGUGUCAACUGUCAAAGCUCAUGAACAGUUCAAGUCAUACUCUUUGGCAAAACUUGUGGGUAUUUUAAAAUCCCAUGAGAAUGCCUUAUUGAAGGAAACGAAUGUUGUUUCGGGUCUUGGUUCUCUAGCUCUUGUCUCUAAAGGAAAGAGUUCGAUCGAAGAAGAAGAGGAAUUAGAUCUUGCUGAAUUUGAUCUAACCGGCGAAGAAUAUGCAGUGAUGGUGUCGAACCCAAGAAAAUUCAUCAAGAAGAAAUUCCCAGCCAACAAGAACCGAAAUUGGCAGGGUAGUUAUAGCGUCGAACGAGUCAAGGAGGAACCGAAGAUGGGAUCAAAAUCUGAAGAGUCAAAGAAGGAGACUAAAAUUGGAGGCGACUUAGGAUUUCACUGUCAUUACUGUGGAGGCAAAAAUCAUUUUGCCAAAGACUGCAUGUUGAGAAAAGAAAGAAGAGAACACAGGCGAAGAUGACGAGGAAGCGAUCCUCCUGAGAAGAUUGGAGGAGAUAAAGAAANCUAUUAAUAACUCUACUAUGAAUGUUUCAAUUGUGCAGGGUUCAACCAACAGUGAUGAGUUUGGAAGUCUGGAAGUUUGGUCCACAGAUUCGGAGGAUGAUGAAGUUAGGAAGCCUACUUACGGAAAGGCUAUGAUGGCAAAAGCAGAGCAGUCAAUGGGAAGAUUCUUUGCAGUGACCGAGGGUGUGUCCCNNNNNNNNNNNNNNNNNNNNNNNNNNNNNNNNNNNNNNNNNNNNNNNNNNNNNNNNNNNNNNNNNNNNNNNNNNNNNNNNNNNNNNNNNNNNNNNNNNNNAAGGAUAAGAAAAAGAAGAAAAUCGGUGAAGAUGAUACAGACAAUAAAGAUGAUGUCUACGUUGAAGUACCAGGAAACCUGUCCCAAAGGUUGAUUCUUCAGAAAAACAAACUGAAGAAAUUUCUAUGAAGGAGCGAGCUGAGAUAGAACAGAAGCGAAAGGAGGCGGAGCUCCUUGAAAAGAAAAAGGCCAUGUUCCCUGAAUGGACUAAAGAAUCAUUUCAGAGGUGUGCAAUUGACGAGCCAGCUGUUCUAUGGCUGAACCAAUAAUGCCAUUCAACCUUGACAACUCCAGGGAUACACAGUUCGAUAUGUCAAUCACUAGAAAGGCAUUUGUCUUCCAUUGUUUCAACUUCACUGCUGCCAUUCCAUCUCCAGACCCGAAGGUAGAUAGGGAUCUGUUAGAGUUUUACUUGGAGUUUGCUCAACCUCAAUACUAUUCAUGGAGUUUGAAGAAGAUAACCACCGUCAAGGUGAUGAAGCCCUAUUCAGCAGGGAAAUUCAUCAAUGUCAAGUUCAGAGUGACUAGAGGAACCGAAGGCUCUGUUCACCAUUUUUCCUUUGCUGAUCUACCGAACCUCAACCCCCAUGACUGGAUACUCCUCAACAAUAUACUUUUGUUAAAUCCUCAGGAGUUUCAGCCAAUUAUUGAUCAUGUCAAGAGUAUGCUUGUUUGCUACAUACAUGAGGUAGCGAAGAUGGACCAGGAAAUUGCAUCUGCCAUACACAAGCGACCAACGAUCAAACCGAUGGGCAAAGCUGGCAAUGUUAAUUCCAUGAUCAAGGGGAAGAUUGAUUCCAAGUAUCACACAGUAAUGUUUCUCAGGGGCGAAGGUCAAAAGUGCAUGUUCGCUCGUGUUGACAAACACCUUUUCUCGACAUCCUGUCUCAAGCAUAUAUUGGAAAUCAUACAAAGGUGCGACCAGAACACUGCUGCUGAUAAAAAUUUGUUCGUCGACAUGCUGAGGUGGUACAUUCUUUUCCGACAGACUCUUCUCGCCAUUAUUCCUAAAUUGUUUAAAGUUAUAAAAACUGUGAGACCUGCCCAGAAGAAAUAAUCUCUCACCUCAUUUGACGCAAAGGGGGGAGAUUGUUGAGUCUAGUGUAUUGCGUCAUGGGCUUGGUCCAUUGCCUAGUUUAGUUGCCGGUAUUGGGCCUAUCCAGCCGUGCAUUAUUUUUCAUUAGGGUUUAGUAUAUACGUUGCAUGCAUGCAGACUUAGAAGGUAGAGCUUUCAUUGUUUUCGUAUUCAAUGUUUUGUAAACCCUAGCUCGCCUCUAUAGCGGAAGUUCUUCAUCGAGCUCUGCUUAGGCGUGACUCAGUUUUGAAUCAUAAGCUCAUAUUUGAUUAUGUUCUGUGUUCGUUCUUAAUUUAUUCUUAAGCUGUUAGAAUUCUUUUAUCAUACUUGUGAAAGAUCUAAACGAUCUAAGAGUUUUGAACUCAUCCGAGUAUAAUCCUAGAAACUCAAUGCAGAAAUCAUGUAUGUGUGUGAUGCGGUGCUACGCUGCUGGCUCCUUCCCCUUGGAUGAAGAGGUACCUGAAACCAAAACUGAAAUUGUAAGUACAAAGCUUAGUGAGUUCCCCCAUCAUACCACAUACCAUACAAUCAUACAUGCUUCCAGGCAAUUCUGGGGUGCCCGACCUACCCAUGUCAAGCCAUUUCGGGGUGCUGACUACCCAUGUCAAGCCAUUAUGGGGUGCUAACUACCCAUGUCAGGCCAUUCUGUGGUGCCUGCCUACCCUCCAGUCUAUCUCACCCGGUCACGGGGACUAUUUCACCCCCUACUACUAUGACAUAACAACAUAUCAUAAACGUGCUGUCAGACAUAUCUGGGGUGUCCGACCUACCCUUCGGUCCUAACAACCGAUUGGGGGACUAUUACCCUCCAACUACAUUAUCACAUAAAACAUAGCAUACAGGCACAUAGAACAUAUCAAGUAAUAGAAAACCAAAAAACUAUCAUAAAGACAAUCAUAUCAACUGUAAUCAACUAGUAGUGGGUCGGCCUUGGUGCCUUAGGUCCACUUCUAUUGGAAGGUAACUCACCUCGAUGUUGUGUAGUGUCUGCAUUGUCCUUGGUGUGAAAGUCGGCUCUCCUCGACUCCUCAGUCUCUACACGACAACCCUUUGAAGUUAUCAACUUGUACUCACAACCCCUACAAGGGUCAACUUGAAUCUAAAUCAAAGUCAAAGUCAAACCAUGGUCAAGUUAACUCUUUGGUUAACCAGAUUUGCCGAGUUGGUUCGCCAACUUGUCGAGUCCCUUCUUCCAAGAAAUACUACAAACUCAUCCCCACUCGUCAAGUCUAGAAAGAGCUCGAUGAUUUCACCUUCAACAAUACUUCAGUCAAUCUUCAAUCGACUCGGCGAGUUCUUCCUUGACUUGUCGAGUUCAUCUUCAGCAUAAGAAUGCAUCCAGUCUAUGACUCGCCGAGUUUUAAGAACAACUUGUCGAGUCCAUCUUCAAAGAUUGGGAGAUUUCCUAGGACUUGCCGAGUGUGUUCUAACACUCGUCGAGUCCCAUGAUUCCCAGGUCCCUUAUGAGCUUAAACAACUUGGGAACCUUCCACACUAUCAUCUGGUCCUUCGACAAAAGGGAUUUGGUGGUCGUUACAACCGGACUCGCCAAGUUCAAAGAAUGACUCGCCGAGUCCAUCCUUGACCAUUACUAUAUAGUCUGUUUAAAUGGGUCUUAACACCUAAGAACUAUAGUUCUAGCCUCCUAAUGUCCAGUUUACACAUAAAGUCUUAAGCUUGGUGCACAUGCACGAGAUCUUUAGCUCAAAAAGCCAUAAAAGAUGGUCUACAAGAUGCAUGGGGUGUUUAUGGCAACAAAGUUGGCAUCUUUAUGCCAUAAAGACCCCUAAUGGCCCCAGAUCUGAAGUCAUAACUUCAUAUUAAACUUCAUAACUUGAAAAUAGAUUAGAAAGCCCUAAAUAUACCAAGAUCCAAGACCUAAAGAUGAUUAUUUACAUGGAAGAUCAAGAUAGGAGCUUUUUACCUUAAAUGAGCUGGAAAUGGAACAAAAUUUAUGGAUCUCCAAGCUCCCACUUGAAUGCCCAAGCUCCUUUCCUCUACUCAGGCUUCACAAACCACCAAAAUGCACAAAAUGACCUUAGAACACUCAAACAAGGCUAGGAUUUUAAGUUAGAGUUUUCUCUGGACGAUGGGGCUGAGUUGAGGGGUUAUAAUGUGUUUAAAUAGGGUGAAAACCCUCAAUUUAGGGCUUUACUCAAACAGUGUCUACUCGCCGAGUCGGUCCCUCGACUCGUCAAGUAGACUAGUUAAACUUCUUGCGGAUCACGACUCCACUCAACGAGUUGGGCCUACAACUCGUCGAGUCCCAGAGAAAACAUAAUAAAUACUUGAAUUAAAGGCAUACCAGGAAUCAGUUGUUACAAAUCUCCCCCAUUUAUCUUAGACUUCGUCCUCAAAGUCUGUUGCUCGGUCCUGAAAAUGCUCGAGGUAAUGCUUCAUCAUCUCAUCCUCCGGUUGCCAAGUCCAUUCUGAGCCCUUGCCAUGCCGCCACUGCACCUUAACCAUCUCCACUCUCUUGUUCCUCAGAUCCUUCGAUUUCCUGUCAAGGAUUGCCACUGGUCGCUCGAUGUAAUUCGUUUUGUUAUCCACCUGAAUAUUCUCUAAUGGCACUACUGCCAAAUUGUCCACCAGAAACUUCCGCAACUGGGAGACGUCAAAAGUGCUAUGUAUCUGUCUAAGUUCGGCUAACAGAUCCAACCUAUAUGCCACGUUGCCCACCAAGGCUACUACACUGAAGGGUCCAAUAUACCUGGGGCCCAGCUUGCCCCGCUUCCUGAAUCAAAUGUUGCCCUUCCAAGGCGACACUUUCAGGAGCACCAUAUCCCCGACCUGGAACUCCAGGUUCGAUAGACGCUUGUCGGCAUAAAUUUUCUGCCGAAUCUUAGUAGUCUAAGACCUGCUCCGAACCUGUUGGAUCCUCUCCGUCGUCUUGAGUACCACCUCGGUACUCCGCAUAACCCUCUGACCAACCUCACCCCAGCAUAUCGGGGUACUACACUUCCUCCCAUACAACAUUUUGAAGGGAGAACGGUUGAUACUCGCAUGAUAGCUAUUAUUAUAGGAGAACUCCGCCAACAGAAGGUAAGUAUCCCAACUACCUCCAAAAUCUAAAACACACGCCCAUAGCAUAUCCUCUAGAGACUGGAUGGUCCGCUCGUUCUGAAACUUCUUCCAAAAUCUGGAAGUGGACCGCACAUCCCUGUCAUAAAUCACUGAAACUAGCACCCCGUGUCGCGCCACUACCUCCCUAAUAUAGAUUUCGACCAACUUCUCGGCCGAAAUCCUCUCCUUAAUCGAAAUGAAAUGGGCGCUCUUGGUCAAUUGAUUAACGAUGACCCAGACUGAAUCUACCCGUCGUGCAGUCCUGGGAAGCUAUGUGAUAAAAUCCAUAGUAAUAUCCUCCCAUUUCCACAGCGGGAUAUCCAACGGCUGGACCUUGCCGUGAGGUCUCUGGUACUCAUCCUUGACCUUCCUUCAGGUCAGGCACCUCUUCACAAACCAAGCUAUGUCCCUCUUCAUAUAGGGCCACUAAUAAUCAAGACAAAGAUCUAUGUACGUCUUCGUCGGCCAGUGAUGGAUACAGAACUUGGAUUUGUGUGCCUCCUCCAUCAAUACCUGACGCACACCUCCAUGAUAUGGUACCCACACCCUAUGGUUAAGAGUCAACAAUCCCCAGCUAUUAAUGUCGAAGGAGGAAACCUGACCCACAAUACGCUCUCUCUUCCGAUGUUCCUCUUUCAUUCCCUCCUGCUAGGCCUCCCGAAUCUCCUCCAACCAGAGGAUACGUUGGGCGUACUAGGCACUGAAUGAAAACCAUAAAUGGGGGGUGUCCAUAUAUAAAUAAUAAGAUUGACUCAUUCCUGGCCACCAUCCUCAGACAAUCACCUUCUCAAACCCUAAAUACUCGUCCAUUGAUCUUUUGUGUCCAUUUAGGAGCUAUUGAGUGAUAUUUUGUUUCUUUGGAGUGAAGAAGGAGCCUUGAAGAAGAAAGAGUGGGAUUCUAGGCUUUGGAUUUGAGCUUAUCUGAGUUUGAAGCUUCAUGUUGAGGUAUAAAGCUCAAAGCUUUCUCACUCUUUUGUUUUGUGCAUCAUUUUACGGUUUAUUAUCAGCUUUCCCGAAGUUGGAGACUUGAUGAGAUAUUAAGCUCCAGAGUUUAUUAUUAGCUCCUUUGAGUAUCUUAAGUGGUGUAGAGUCAUAAAAAUCAAGACUUGGAUGUUUGAAUCAACCCAUGCAUGAGAUAUGAGCCUUUUGAGAUAAUAGAGUGAGAGUUUUGGGUUUUUGUGACUUGAUCAACCAUGCAAACGCUUAAAGUCACAGACUUUAUGGAGUAAGAGUCUCUAUAGAGUCCAGAUCUGUGAUAUGAGUUAAGGUCUUAACGACUUAAGACCAAGGAGCAUGCUUGGGCCGUAAACACAUAAUAAGAGGGUUUUUAUGCCUUUAAACCCAUCCAAACCAAAUUUGGGACUUAGAUACGACUAUAUGGCUUACCAUUUUGGACUUAGAAGACCCUAAACAUGAAUUUUGAGGAGUAAACUUGAGUUUACUGCCCAAGAACAUGCUUGGGCCGUAAACUCCUCAUUCAUGGAGAGUAAACUCAAAAACAAGUGUUUAAAAGCCAUGUAAACACACCAUUAGCAUUGGAAUAAAUCCUAGAACCAACUAAAAUUAGUUUGGAGACCUUAAACAUGAUGAAAUCCUCUCAUUUAAGAGUUCACGGCCAUAACUCCCCAAGAAAUAGUUCCAGGGCCGUAAACUCAUAAAAACAUGUCAAAUGGUGCCCUAAACGUCAUUCUAAGGCUUGUAAAAUUAGUUUGAAUCACAUGUGAUUGAUCUAAAGCCACCAAAUCAUCAAUAUAAGAGGGGUAUAGGAGCUUACGGCCGUAAACUCCAUGUUUAGGGCCAUAAACUCCCUUUGAUGGUGUUAUUGGUGACUUAAUUCAUUCUUAAGCUUUAGAUAAAUUCAUCCCAACAUUUCUUAAGUGUUAUCUUACCAUUUGGCACCAUAAAACCUCACAUUCAUGAGUUCACGGCCGUGAACUCAUAUGUUUAUGGUAUUAGGGCCAUAAACUCCCUAAGGAGUUUACUAUUAAAGUCCAAACUCGUUAUCCAAGCCAUAUACGUCCGUAGAUGUCACCCAGGUCACUCCAAACACUUGAUUUGAAGUGUUUUCGCUCAUUGGAGUGUAUUAUCAUAUCUAAUUAGUGUUUUAAAAUCUAAAUAGAUAUAUUUGUGUAUUAUUUAAUAUUACAUAGGAACCUCACACGUAUUCAAGCCUCGAUUCGACGUUUAGCAUCCUAAUCGACACAUUCUGCAUCCGGUGAGUUCAUACCCCUACUCUUUUUCAAUGGUUUUUCAAUGUUUUCAGGGGGGGGGAUACAAGCAAAAAUAGAAAUUUUUUCAAAACCUUAAAUUGAUGUAUUUCAAUAAAUAUCUGGCAAACUUAUAAAUAUCUUUACCCCUUAUGUAUUAUGCUGAGCAUAAGGGAUAAUUUAUCAACUACAACAAUAUGAAUUUAUGUUAAGGAAACAAUCAAACUAGUCAAAUUAUUAUGGGAAUAAUUUGGGGUUCUUUAGUUCUUGUUUAAACACAUACUGAUAUAUGUAAAGUUAUUAGAUAAACUAUGUCUGAUUCAGUUUAUCUCUGUUUCAUUUAGAAUGUAUUGCUAGAUAAUUUCAUUGUAUAUAUUUGUAUUCACUGUAUCUUGUUUCAUAACGUUUAGUAUGUUUGAUAUCGUAUGAGAACUUCGUGAAUAAUUUAGUACAAGCUUGUGAGUUUCGUCAUUACCCUUCGGGUUAUCAGUAAAUCCUCCCCGGAAGUGUAACCAAAGUCUGCUGGAGGGAGAGCNAAUUUGUGAAUAGAUCUAUUCGGGACUGACAAUCCCACACCUUAACUGCUAGCUACAGUUAGGCGGGCACGCUUGGGGUGACAAAUACUGGAUAUCGUCCGACGUCUGAGAAGCGUCAAGGAGGUCUCGUUGUCGUAUCAGCAUGGUUACCCGACUCACUAUACGUAUUAAUAUAAGUUUAUUCACAGUUUGGUUUUGGUUUUGAUUCAAUUUCAUAUCUAUUUUCUAUCUAAAGAUUUUAUAUCUAGUACGGGAUGAUAGUCCCAUGGUUUUCAGCCUAUUGAUUUUGUAUCUGGUACGGGAUGUUAUUCCUAUGGUUUUCAGUAUAUAUAUAUAUAUAUAUAUCUAUAUAUAUAUAUAUAUACAUAUAUAUAUAUAUAUACAUAUAUAUAUAUAUAUAUAUAUGUAUAUAUANNNNNNNNNNNNNNNNNNNNUAUAUAUAUAUAUAUUACAUUUCUAGUGCGGGAUGCUAGUCCCAUGGUUAGAGUGUAUAUCUAGUACGAGAUGGUAAUCCCAUGUUUUUCAACUUAUAUCUAGUACGGGAUGAUAUUCCCAUGAUUUCAAUCUAUAUCUUGUACAGGAUGGUAGUCCCAUGGUUUUGAAUGUAUAUCUAGUACGGGAGGAUAGUCCCAUGGUUUUCAAUAUAUAUCUAGUCCGGGAUGGUAGACCCAUGGUUUUUUGAAUCUAUAUUUAUCCAUAUUUUCAUGUGUAUCAAACUAUCUUGUAUCUAGUACGUGAUGGUAGUCCCAUGGUUUUCAAACUAUUUCUAUCUGUAGAUUCGUGUAUAUCAAACUAUCUUAUAUCUAGUUCGGGAUAGUAAUCCCAUGAUUUUAAAUAUAUAGUUUUAUGUAUUAAAAUAUACUCUGUGAUUUUCAACCGGUCUUGCAUUUAGGAAAAUAUGGGAUUUUCCUGGGGUAACAUAUAACAUGUAAUCGAAUUGGUAAUAAAUGAUAACUAAAAUAUUUUACAUAAGAAAAUAUGGGAUUUUCUUAGAUAACAAACCUUUUCAGAAAACUAAAGGAAACUAGUACAUUUUUCUGAAAACAAACAUCUUAUGAACUCAUUAGCUUUAUGCUGAUUUUCAAACCGCUUGUAUUCUCAGGUCAGCAUUAGACAGGUACCCGAUGAUCUGUUUUGGCGAAGACGGAGUGCGUAGAAGACACGUCUUACUUUUUUUCAUAUAUACUAUGUAUCACACUUGUACAAUUUACUUUUGAAACAAAUGUAAACUUUUAUAUCUAUAAUGUAACGGUUGUUUACUUUGCUUACUAUGUGCAUUGGAUUUGAUACUCAACGUGGAGUCGACCCCGGAAAUGUUUCCGCCUUCGGUUUUCGGGGUGUGACAGAUUGGUAUCAGAGCCCUUGUUUAUAGUGAAAUGAGUAUACCAAACCUUACAUGGUAUAAGACUAUAAACAUUAAAGGGCCUAAGUGCUCUGAACUAAAAAUAUCCUUCAAAAUAUAAGUAUUUUCAAAAGUAUACAAGUAUACCGAACCGUCGAGAUCCGUGACUACAAGUAAACAAAACAUAAGUAAAUGGGUGUUGUACGCUGCGGUUAAACCUGGGCAGUUAUGUAGUCGUGUCUAGGAUCAAUAUAGUCUGGCCAACUAUAUUCAUUCGAGACACGUCCAACAUGUGCUUGGGAGUGACUGUGGUACGCAUCAUACCUAAAACUUACCCAAUACCCCAAACAACGAGUCAUCGUUGCAGCGAAUCAUGAAAUACUAUGGGAGUAUUUCUCGAGUCAAUCCUUUAUAGAAAUCCUCAUUCAAGCGUUGUUCCUUGAUUAUUCCUCAAGCGAUAAAUUAUCUGCUUUGAUAACUCUUUCUUACUUUAUCGCUUAAUAUAAUGUUAUAUCUGUCUUGAUGAGACAUCCCCUGUUCCAUAUCUCUUAAAUCAAUUCGGAGGACUUAUGGUCCUCUCUUUCCUGAUCUUUUUAGAUCAAGAUGCCUCCGAGAAAGAGACCCAGCUAAAAGACCAACAACCCUGCCACCACNGAAAUUGACCCCGUGGUAUUUCAGGCAGCUGUUACCGCCGCGGUGGCAGCUGCUAUGUCUCAAUUGAACACCAGUGGUUCCGGUGGUUCGGGAGGUAAUACUCAAACCCAAAACCAAGAAAGCAGUCAGGGACACCGAAAAUAGGGUUCCUAUAAAGACUUCAUGAAUGCGAAACCCACAUCCUUUGAUGGCACUGGAGGUGUCAUUUCCCUCACCCAAUGGUUCGAGAAAAUCGAAUCAAUCUUUGAAAUAUGUGCCUGUUCGGAAUCUAACAAGGUAAAAUUUGCCGCCUGCACCUUCCUUGACAAAGCCCUGACUUGGUGGAACGGCCGAGUCAAAUCCUUAACUCUACCUGUAGUAAAUGCUAUGGGUUGGGAAGUUAUGAAGGAGCUUCUGCUCGCGGAGUAUUGCCCUCGAGGCGAAAUGCAGAAGCUAUAACACGAACUCUGGAACCUGAAGAUGAAGGGUUCCGACAUAGUCGCUUAUACUUCAAGAUUUGAUGACCCGACAUUACUCUGUCCGGGAAUGGUUACCUCGGAGAGUAAAAAGAUUGAGAGGUUCAUCUGGGGGCUGACCCAACCAACAAAAGGAAACGUCUUAGCUGCGAAGCCGGACACAUAUGACAACGCUAAAUGUCUUGCGCAAACCCUGAUCGAUCAUGAAGACAGCCCCGAUGAGGAGGCUACCAUUUAUGAGCCAGUCACAAGUGGAGGUGGAAGUAAAAAGAAAUUCUGGAACAAGCGGAAGGCCCAAAGUACGCAAGUGUCCUCUAAGAAACAGAAAACGAUAGCAGUCCAUGCUGCUACUGCCCCUGUUGCUGUUUCUGCUGUCGGAUCCACAACCCAAACUCCUAUCAGUGGAUACACUGGUACCCUUCCUUAGUGCACAAAGCGCAGCUACCAUCACCAUACUCCUGGUGCAUGUCGCGAAAGAAUCUGCGAGAACUGUGGCAAGAAGGGCCACCUUGCUCGAACCUGUAGAAAACCAGCCAAGUCAACAAAUCAAUCUUCCGGGAUGAGCAUCGGUCAGGCCUGUUAUAAUUGUGGUGAAGUUGGAUACUUCAAUAGGAACUGUCCCAAGGCAGCAACAACCGGCAACGCCGAGAGAGUCCUAGCUAUGGGAGAAUUUGAGACAACAGCCGAUCCCACCGUUGCCGCAGGUAUACUCCUCUUUGACAACUCUUACGCCUGCAACUCUUUUCGAUUCUAGUACUAAAAGAGAAACCAGUUAUCUAUCCAUUCAAACAUCUUUCUAAGCUCAAACCUUCGUUAGUAAUCGAAAAUGUGAACCGUCAAGAUGGCUAACCAGUGAGAUAGAGAACGCUAAUUUCGUACCUAUAGAUUGUAUCCUCAAUCCAGACGAUUAUUCUAUUCCAUUCAAUUUAAUGGCAAACUUUUCAUGAAAUGCUUUGAUGCUAUUUUUGGCAUGUAAUGACCGAGCCUCAUUCAUGCUGUUAUUCUUGGUUUCGAGAAAUCCAUCCGUCUUAACCUUCUUUCGACCCGACUCUCAUGAUCUUUGUGCAUCAAAACUUAAAAAGUUUUCCCAUGUAUUCCUCAUCCAUGUGAUCAUCGAGAAACGGGAAGUCUGCAGCUCUUUCCCUAAUGUCUUUCCUGAAGGAUUCCCGAUAAUUCUUUCCGAACGUCUAGUCUAGUCUCGCACCGGCCUAAUCCCUGCAACUAUCUCGUAACCAAACCUCAGUAAGGACGAUGUGUCCAAGACAGCAACCAGGGCUUGAUAUGAUCACUACGAGGUAGUAGUGGUGCCCUUCGGUCAAACCAUUUUCACUGAUCAUGUAGCUAAGCAAAGCAGUCAUACCCGUGAACCUUUAAAAAAACUAAGGCGAUAGGGAAUUAGUCGGCACCAGAGAUACCCAUAGAAACCUGUUGAUUCUUGGGUCCCAUCGACUAUUAUCGCAGACCUACCCAUAAAUUUCUUCUAGAACCAUCAGACCCUUAACUACUCUGGUACAUGAAGAUGUGCGUCCUUGUUGGAGCGUGUGCCCUGUUGAAGGCCUUAUCCCAGAAAAGCAUUAUAUGCUUUGGGGAAGUGCGAAAUACUUCACUCGUGACACACUAGACCCUUUACCAUCCUCGUUAGGACCAAUUCCGUAACCUUCGAACUCUGGCUACCUUCAGAACUUAGUAACAUCCAUCUUGUCUUCCACGUCUCGAAUCCUUAGAAGCACCUACCCAACGAAACCCUAGUAAUUCCUUUGAUGAGACUGAAGUCAACGAAAGUCUGAACCUCCAUGGGAGAACAAAUUUUGAUCAUGGAUUGAGAGAGUGAAUGCAUGAAACAAAGACGCGUCCCGAUAGUGAGUGUUCGCUGCAACGUCAAGAGGAGACCAGAUUCCACUUGGGAGCGUGAAGAUCCGAAGCAACAAAUCCAUCCAUAUCUCAUUCAAAUUCAUGAUCUGUAUCUUAAUCUUUGAAUUUCGGGAUGAAAUUCCCUCUAACGGGGGGAUAAUGUGACAACCCGAAGUUGUCCAUCGCCGAAACCCGCUCUACCCGUAAAAAUCCGCCCUUAUCAAUUCGUUCCGAUUUCGUUUUUGGGCUAAGUUAUUUAAAGAUAUAUGUUUAUUUUAAUCUCAUGAGUGUCCAAACCCCUUAGGAACUCAUGAAAUUGGCCCAAAAUGUUUAUUUGAGAAAUUUUUAGAAACGUCCCCGCCGGGUUACUUCAACUUAAUCGGGUGUGACCAAAAGCCCCGUUUAGUGUCGGUAUCGGGUAGAAUUCUACCGUGUCCAAAUCUUGGAACCUACUUAAAUGGGUUUAAGCUUCCAUUUGAAGCUUUUGCUCUCUCUCCCUACUAUCUCUCUAACCUCUCUCAUCAACCAAAGAUUCAAGGUCCAAAUCAUUGAUUUAAGGCUCCAAAUCUUUGAGGUAACUCCCCCUAACUUGUAGUUCAACCUCUUAGGCCUUCAAAUUCGUGUUUAAACUUUGAUUUUGGACCUCAAACAUGAGUUUACGGCCAAGGAGCAUGCUUGGGACGUAAACACAUAAUAAGAGGGUUUUUAUGCCUUUAAACCCCUCCAAAGCAAACUUGGGACUUAGAUACGACUGUAUGGCUUACCAUUCUAGACUUAGAACACCCUAAACAUGAAUUUUGAGGAGUAAACUUGAGUUUACUGCCCAAGAACAUGCUUGGGCCGUAAACUCCUCAUUCAUGGAGAGUAAACUCAAAAACAAGUGUUUAAAAGCCAUGUAAACACACCAUGAGCAUUGGAAUAAAUCCUAGAACCAACCAAAAUACGUUUGGAGACCUUAAGCAUGAUGAAAUCCUCUCAUUUAAGAUUUUACAGCCAUAACACCCCAAGAAAUAGUUCCAGGGCCGUAAACUCAUAAAAACAUGUCAAAUGGUGCCCUAAACUUCAUUCUCAGGCUUGUAAAUUUAGUUUGGAUCACAUGUGAUUGAUCUAAAGCCACCAAAUCAUCAAUAUAAGAGGGGUAUAGGAGCUUACGGCCAUAAACUCCAUGUUUAGGGCCUUAAACUCCCUUUGAUGGUGUUAUUGGUGACUUAAUUCAUUCUUAAGCUUUAGAUAAAUUCAUCCCAACAUUUCUCAAGUGUUAUCUUACCAUUUGGCACCAUAAAACCUCACAUUCAUGAGUUCACGGCCGUGAAAUCAUAUGGUUAUGGUCUUAGGGCUGUAAACUCCCUAAGGAGUUUACUCUUGAAGUCCAAACUCGUUAUCAAAUCCACACACAUCUGUAGAUGUCACCCGGGUCACUCCAAACACUUGAUUUGAAGUGUUUUCGCUCAUUGGAGUGUAUUAUCAUAUCUAAUUAGUGUUUUAAAAUCUAAAUAGAUAUAUUUGUGUAUUAUUUAAUAUUACAUAGGAACCACGCACGUUCAAGCCUCGAUUAGACGUUUAGCAUCCGAAUCGACCCAUUCGGCGUCCAGUGAGUUCAUACCCCUACUCUUUUUCAAUGGUUUUUCAAUGCUUUCAGGGGGGAAUACAAGCAAAAAUAGAAAUGUUUUCAAAACCUUAAAUUGAUGUAUUUCAAUAAAUAUCUGGCAAACUUAUAAAUAUCUUUACCCCUUAUGUAUUAUGCUAAGCAUAAGGGAUGAUUUAUCAACUACAACAAUAUGAAUUUAUGUUAAGGAAACAAUCAAACUAAUCAAAUUAUUAUGGGAAUAAUUUGGGGUUCUUUAGUUCUUGUUUAAACACAUACUGAUAUAUGUAAAGUUAUUAGAUAAACUAUGUCUAAUUUAGUUUAUCUCUGUUUCAUUUAGAAUGUAUUGCUAGAUAAUUUCAUUGUAUAUAUCUGUAUUCACUGUAUCAUGUUUCAUAACGUUUAGUAUGUUUGAUAUUGUAUGAGAACUCCGUGAAUAAUUUAGUACUAGCUUGUGAGUUUCGUCCUUACCCUUCGGGUUAUCUGUAAAUCCUCCCCGGAAGUGUAACCAAAGUCUCCUGGAGGGAGAGCAAUGAAUUUGUGAACAGAUCUAUUCGUGACUGAGAAUCCCACACCUUAACUGCUAGCUACAGUUAGGCUGGCACACCCGGGGUGACAAAUUCUGGAUAUCGUCCGACGUUUGACAAGCGUCAAGCAGGUCUCGUUGUCGUAUCAGUAUGGUUACCCGACUCACAAUACGUAUUAAUAUAAGUUUAUUCACGGUUUGGUUUUGGUUUUGAUUCGAUUUCAUAUCUAUUUUCUAUGUAGUACGCGAUGAUAGUCCCAUGGUUUUCAGCCUAUUGAUUUUGUAUCUAGUGCGGGAUGGUAUUCCUAUGGUUUUCAGUAUAUAUAUAUUACAUCUCUAGUGCGGGAUGGUAGUCACAUGGUUAGAGUCUAUAUCUAGUACGAGAUGGUAAUCCCAUGGUUUUCAACUUAUAUCUAGUACGGGAUGAUAUUCCCAUGAUUCCAAUCUAUAUCUUGUAUGGGAUGGUAGUCCCAUGGUUUGGAAUCUAUAUCUAGUACAGGAGGAUAGUCCCAUGCUUUUCAAUAUAUAUCUAGUCCGGGAUGGUAGUCCCAUGGUUUUCAAUCUAUAUUUAUCUAUAUUUUCAUGUAUAUCAAACUAUCUUGUAUCUAGUACGGGAUGGUAGUCCCAUGGUUUUCAAACUAUUUCUAUCUAUAGAUUCGUGUAUAUCAAACUAUCUUAUAUCUAGUUCGGGAUAGUAAUCCCAUGAUUUUCAGUAUAUAGUUUUAUGUAUUAAACUAUACUCUGUGAUAUUCAACCGGUCUAGCAUUUAGGAAAAUAUGGGAUUUUCCUGGGGUAACAUAUAACAUGUAAUCGAAUUAGUAAUAAAUGAUAACUAAGCUGUUUUACAUAAGAAAAUAUCGGAUUUUUUUGGAUAACAAACGUUUUCAGAAAACUAUAGGAAACUGGUACAUUUUUCCGAAAACAAACAUCUUAUGAAGUUACCAGCUUUAUGUUGAUUUUCAAACCGCUUGUAUUCUCAGGUUCGCAUUAGACAGGUACCCGAUGAUCUCUUUUGGCGAAGAUGGAGUGCGUAGAAGACACGUCUUACUUUUGUUCAUAUAUACUAUGUAUCACACUUGUACAAUUUACUUUUGAAACAAAUGUAAACUUUUAUAUAUGUAAUGUAACGGUUGUUUACUUUGCUUACUAUGUGCAUUAGAUUUGAUACUCAACAUGGAUUCAUCCCCGGAAAUGUUUCCGCCUUCGGUUUUCGGGGUGUGACACGAAAAAUAAACAAAAAACCGUAAACUCAUGCCUUAAGCAUGAAUUUACUCCCCAAACUAGUCAUUUUAUAUUUACUCCCCAAUUACCAAAAGAGUAAUAUCAUAAAAAUCCUCUCAAGUAUCAUCCUAGAAUUUAUUCAAGAUCUUAAAUCUAGUAAGUGUUUCUAGCCCUUUCAAGUUAGUAUAUCACUUAAUCUAGUGAUUGUACAUCCUUUGAUCCAUCCAUUUUUCUAUUUUGACUAGUUUUCCAAAAGACCAAGAACACCAAGAACACACACUAGUGUUCUUGGACUUUAAGUUCAUUUCAAGCUUCCACGAAGUAAGUACUUCUAUCCAAGAGUCAUUUAAAGCUUGCUAUACAUGUUUACACCAAGGAAAAGUCCCAAGAACACCAAGAACAAGGUGUUCACGGUUUUGGGAGGCUCCGAAAAAAGUAAACACCAAAUUUAGUGCCUUAGGGUGCUUUAGAGUGUCUAUAUACUUCAUUAUGCCGUAAGGACUCGUAUAGAUCCAUCCUGGAUGUGUAUAUCACCUAAAAGACCAAGAAAACAACCAUUUAUAUGCGUUUACGAUUUGGGGAUCUCCCAAAACCGUAAACACCCCAAAAAGUGGUUAAAUGUCCCAUAAAAGUCCCAUGGUUGUUCCUUAUGUCUAAAUCUAACCUAGACUAUUGCGAUGAUUGAGCUAAGAACAUGAAAACCACCAAAUACCAAACUUAGGAGUUUGAGGUAGUAAACUCACAAGUUUAAGGUAGUAAACUCAAGAGUUUAAGGUAGUAAACUCAUGGAGUAAUGGUCCUUAGACCGUAAACUCCAUUUAGGAGUGUUUUGAUGCCACACAACACUUCCUAAGGCUAAAUCAUGAAGUAGGAAUGCUUGGAAUAACUUAGAAGACUUCAAAACAACAAAUGGUCAAAAAGUUAGGAGUUUACGACCAUAAACUCAAGAGUUUACGACCGUAAACUCAAGGGGUGUUGGUCUUUANNNNNNNNNNNNNNNNNNNNNNNNNNNNUUCCCUACAACACUUAGAUGCACUCCUUAAUACUUAUAACACUUAUGCAAAGUGUUUGUCAUGACCUAGAGUGUCUUGACUUGUUUAUUAGUUGUUUAAAGACUAAUUGUUUAUAUACAUAUAUCCUUAUAUGUUAUUAGGAUCUUUGUGCGUAUCUAAGUCUUCACUUGACACCAACCACUUAUCCGACACUUCCUUCCGAUCCACUUGUUACAGGUGAGUUCAUACACCUUAAUCAAUGUUUUAAAUGUUUUUAAAUGCUUUAUGCGGGGGUACAAGUAGAAUCAUGCUACUUAUUAUAUCAAUCACAUGUGAUUAAUAAGCAACAUUCAAAUUAUUUACUAUUCAUUAGCCGUUUUACCAAACAGUUUCCUUCAAAUGAUUUUCAUAAACACUUUAUAUGUUUAAAACUCCUUAUUAAACUGUACAUUUUACUCUGUAUGUUUCAUUUCAAACUCAUUUACACUUAUGUUUCAAACAAAUGUUUCUUUAUACUUAAACUGUUUUAUCAAACCCAUGCCUUCAAACCGUUUUAUAGAUUGACAUCAAGUUGAUCUUUACUUAGAUAAUAAUUAUGUUCAAAGGUUUUACAAAACUUAUUUUAUGCUUUUAUAUUAUCAAUUGCAAAACUUAAGAAGGCUAUCCACCCUAUUUCCUUUUGGCGCUUGAGAUGUGGUCUGGUGGGACAUCGGGUAUCCGUCUGAAGGUUGUUUAAAUAUUAGUUAUAUAUC